This 82623-nucleotide long non-coding RNA is filed under the name Populus trichocarpa (black cottonwood). RNAcentral's name for it is "long non-coding RNA (PTRI_LNC000721)". The record is from RNAcentral. Lineage: Eukaryota; Viridiplantae; Streptophyta; Magnoliopsida; Malpighiales; Salicaceae.
UCAUCUUGGCUCAAACACUUUGAAUAAGCUCAUCUAAUAUAUCUUUGAGAUUUUUUGCCCUUGAUCUUAUAAUUGGCCCAAUUUGAACUUGCAAUGGAUCUUUUGUUGUACUUUUGAUCGGAUCAUCUCCUCUGUUUUAAAUUUCUGAAAUCAAAGUUUGUCCUUAAAAAACUUAAAUACAAGUUAAAUAACCCUUAUGUAUAAUAGGUAAGAACUUCCUAAACAAUGCUGAAAAAAUAAUAAAAGAAUUCGAAAUAAAUAGGAAAAUGAAUCCUAAAUCAAUUAUGAAACUAUUACAUCUCCUACAUAGUAGCUUCUAGACCUUAUUUGAAGGCUUUCACAAUGUUUGAUUUCCCUCAAUUGUAUCCCAAUAUAGAAAAAAUAAACCUCUAACAACUUCUGGUAAAAUCUUAGUCUGAUCUAAUGGUCGGAUAAAAAGUAAUGCUUAUUAGAGUAAACUAUGCAUUAGGAAAAAUAAGCCUCUAACUAUAAAAUUACUUAGCCUAUGAAGUAGAUGGACCAGGCCCCUCUUAUACAUAAAUUAAAUUGAUUAAGGUUUGAUCAUCAUUUAUUGAAGAUAUAGCCUCAUUUUAAUUCAUUUUGGCCCAAUUACCAUGAAUAAGCUCAUUUAUUAAUGCAUCUUUAAGCUUCUUUACCCUUGAUCUUGUAAUUGGCCCAAUUUGAACUUGCAAUGGAUCUUUUAGUGUGGUUUUGAUUAUAUAAUCCACUUUUUCCUCAAAAUGAUUCAUCCAUGAAUAGUCAUCUACAUCAAAUAAAGAAAAAUCAUAAACAUUAAAAGUAGAAUUAACAUCAUACUCACCUGGUAUAUCCACUUUAUAAGCAUUAUCAUUAAUUCUUUCAAGGAUUUGGAAUGGUUCAUCUCCUCUUGGCAUCAACUUAUAUCUCUUUUGUUCAGGAAAUCUUUCUUUUUGGAUAUGCACUCAAACCCAAUCACUAGGUUAGAAAAAAAAAACCCUAUUCCAUCAUUUAUUAGCUUUAAAUGCAUAUUGUUCAUUCUUUUUUUAUAUAAUAGGAGUGCAAUAUACUAUUUGUUGAUAAUAAGUAAUAGAAAAUAACAAUUUUAUUUCUAAUUUUCCCCACAAAACCUUUCAAAAAUAGUUAAGAAAUUUAACAUCAUGGUCAAACACAAUGCUCUUAGGUACCUCAUGAAGCCAAACUAUUUCCCUAAAGAAUAAAUUAACUAUGUUAGUUGCAUCAUCAAUUUUAUGACAAUAUAUGAAAUGUGUUAUAUUAGAAAACUUAUCCAUAACUACAAAAAUAAAAUCUCUACCCCUUCUUAACCUAGGCAAACCUAGAUCAAAUUUCAUAUAUAUAUAUCAACCCAAAGUUUCUUAGGCACUAACAAAGGAGUAUAUAAAUUAUGAUGUAAAACUUUAGACUUAGCUUGUCUAUAUGUUAUGCAUCUAUCAUAAAUUCUUUACAUAUCAUCUUUUCAUCUUAUACCAAUAAAACUACUAAUACAAAAUAUCUAAAAUAUUAGCAAUACUUAAUGUCAUAUUAAUUCACCCUUAUGAACUUUAGGAACUACCAAUUCACGCAUAGAAUAAUUAGGCACACACAAUAUCUUUUCUUUAAAUAAAUAUUCAUCAAACCUAUAAAACUUAUCAAAGGUUGAAUGUUCACAUACAACAUAUACUUGAAAGAAAUCAACAUCCUUAAUAUAUAAAUCUCUCAUAUGCUCAAAUCCUAAUAGCGUAGUGUUUAGAGUUGAAAAAACUAGAUGCCUUCACGAUAGUGUAUCAAGCACUAUGUUUUCCUUAACUUGUUUGUACUUAACCAUGUAUCAAAACAUUUCAACUAACUCUACCCACUUGGCACACUGACGGUUUAGCUUUCCUUGGACCUUAAGAUAUUUCAAUGACUGAUUGGUAUGAAUCAUGACCUUCUUAGACCACAAGUAAUAUUGCUAGGUUUUCAAAGUUCUUACCAAAGCAUAAAGCUUCUUAUUAUAAGUAGGAUAAUUCAAUGAUGCAUCAUUGAGUGUUUUGCUAAAAUAAGCCAUGAAGCUUUUUUCUUGUAUUAAAACAGCUCCAAUACCUAUCCACGAGGCAUCACAUUUAAUCUCAAGAGUUUUUGUAAAAUCAGGCAAUGAUAACAAUGGAGUUAAAAUUAAUUUUUUCCUUUAAAAAAUUAAAAACAUGCUCUUGUUCUUUGCCACAUUUAAAACUCAAAUUUCUUAACUAUCUUAAUUAAAGGUGUGGCUAGAGUACUAAAAUCUUUAAAAAAUCUCUUAUAAAACCUAACCAAAUUAUGAAAACUUCUUACCUCAAUGAUUGAUUUAGAUGUAGGCUAGUCUUAGAUAGCUUUAACUUUUUUCACAUCCAUCUCAAUACCUUUUACACUAACAAUAUAUCAAAUAAAUACAAUCAUUUCCAUACAUUUUUUUCAUAUUAGCAUAUAAACAUUCUUUUCGCAAAACAACCUAUACAUUCCUUAAAUUUUCAACGUGCUCUCUUAAAUUCUUGCUAUAAAUCAAAAUACCAUCAGAAUAAACUACAACAAACUUACCUAUAAAAUUAUACAAAACAUGAUUCAUUAAUCUCAUUAAAGUACUGGGUGCAUUAAUAAGUCCAAAAGACAUAACUAACCACUCAUACAAACUAUAUUUCGUUUUAAAUACAGUUUUCCAUUCAUCUCCCUCUUUCAUUCUUAUUUGAUGAUAUCCAAUUUUCAAAUAUAUCUUAGACAAUAUACAAGAUCCAUGCAAUUCAUCUAACAUAUCAUCAAGUUUAGGAAUUGGGUGUCUAUAAUUUACCAUAAUAUUGUUGAUGGCAUGACAAUUAACACACAUCCUCUAAGUCCUAUUAUUUUUCAGUAUUAACAACACUAGAAUUGCAUAUGAACUCAUACUUUCUCUUAUGUACCUUUUUGUCAUCAAUUAUUUCACUUGCCUUUGAAGUUCCUUUGUCUCCUCGCGAUUACUUUUAUAGGUUGGCUGAUUAUGUAUUGAUGCUCCAGGUACAAGAUUAAUUUAGUGCUUAAUUCCCCUAAUAAGUGGUAACCCACUUGGAAUCUCAUUAAGAAAGAUGUCUUUAAAAUCCUAUAAUAAAGAAACAUAAACACCAUGAAGAUAAUGAUCAAGAUUAUCAGUGUUAAAAUAUGCUUCCUUAUACACAAGUAAAAUCAUAGGCAUGUUAGAAAAAAAAAAAACAUUUUUAAUCUCACUCCUCUUCGUAGAAAUUCCUUCUAUUUUCUCUCAUCUGAAUCCCCAAUAAUUCUUAUUUUGACUAAAUCUAACAUUUUUCUCUAUUAGCUCAUUUUAUUUUCACUCUUUCUCACAUCCUCACAUAGUUGAUAUUUUAUUUGGCUUCACUUUCUCCUUUCAAUUUCAAUUGCUCCUUAUACAUUUAUCUAGGGCAUAAUGGUACAAAUAUGAAUGUCUUCCUAUUAUUUUCAAAAGAAUACUCAUUUUUAAACCCAUCAUGAUUGAUUUUUCUAUCAAAUUUUCAAAGUCUCCCUAAUAAUAAAUGAGUAGUAUGCAUAGGCACAUCAUCAUACAACCUCAUCCUUAUAUUUUUCAACUGAAUAUAAUAGUGUUUAAUUCAACCAUUGAAGUUUGUAAGGCCUUCCAUGUUUAAUAGUGUUCAAAUUCAAUUUUCUUACAAAUAUAGUAUUAACACAACUUCCACUAUCAAUAAUUAUUUAUGUGACAUCUAAUAUAAAAUAUGUUCUCUCUUUAUUACUCUACACCAUUCUCUUUAAUUUGAACAUUAAGUGAUAUUUUAAUUAUCAAAGCCUUUCUAUCAACUAGAUACUCAACAUUACUAUAGUCCUCAAGUGGUCGUAUCUUAUCAUCCUCAGAUUGGUCACUUCCAGAUUUAAUCUCUCAUGCUUCUUUAUAACCAUAAUUCUUUUGUUUGGACAUUGUCAAGAUAUAUUUUCACUCCCCAAAUACCUAAAACACUUAAUAUAAUAUAUGAUAUCUUAACUUUACCUUUUAUUUCAAUGGUUGAAUCUUUCCUUUAAACUUUAGAUGGCUUAUUUUUGUUGCUCACAAUAUUCGGCUUUGAUGUCGUAGCCCCUUCUCUCCUAUAAUUCGACCUCCAAGCUAAAAAUAAACUUAAAUUACCUUCUUGACGUGUACUUCCCUUUCUCUUCAACUAUCUCUCUAUCUUGGUAGCCAUAUGAACCACAUUAGCUAUCUCUCCAUUUAAUUUAUUCAAAAACCUUGUCAUUGUAACUUCCCUAUCCUCCACAAUAUUAUCUCUAAUCAUGAAAAUUUAUAUUUCCUUGUAGUAAUCCUCCACUCUCUUAGAACCCUAAGACAAACUCUACAAUCUUUGAUAUAAUUCCCUAUAAUAAUAACUAGGAACAGACUUUUUUCUCAUAACUACUUUCAUCUCAUCCUAAGUCUUUAUAGGUCUCUUUUUAUUUCUUCUUCUUUUUAAGUUCAAUUGAUCCCACUAAAUAAUAGCAUGAUUAGUAAACUUAAUAACAACAAGUUUUAUUUUCUUUACAUCAAAGUAAUGGUGAUGGUAAAAAAUCAACUCCAUUUUUUCUCAUUCCAAGUAAGCUUAUGGAUUAUUUUUGUCUUGAAAAACCAGCAUCUUUAUCUUAAUAUUGCCCAAAUCUCUAUCUAAACCAUCCCAAAAUCCAUCCUCCUUAUUUGCGCUCCUAUGACUGAAUUGCUCAAAUGACAAAACUCCCAUAAAGCUUUGGUUUUUAUGAGGCCAAAACCUACCACCAUGGUAUAAUCAAAAUCCUUGGCCUUCUCAUCUAUAAUUUUUGCUAUAGAUUCUUCUAGAGGUGAAUUAGCUCGUCUCAUAAACCUUCUUCCUUCCAAUCCCUACGAUCUAGCCCAUCUAAAAAACUAGUCAUUUUGGUUCUCAAACCAAUCAUCUAACUUAUUAUUUUGAUAAACCUUGUAUUCAUCAACUCAAAUUGUUCUUGCAAGGUCAAAUAACCCAAUUUAGGAUUUUUCUAUCUUUUGGUGGUGGUGAUCCAUUUUUAGUUAACAUCGUCAAGAGUUGAAAAUUAAUUUAGUAGCGCGCGCGCACACACACACACAUCCUCGUGUGUUUACACUUCAAUAGAUGUCAUUACUCUCGUGUUUCAUACAAAUUAAGUUAGUAGAAAACUAAUAUAAUUCUCGCAUAGUAGCUUCUAAACCUUAUCACAAGGCCUUCUUGAUGUUCGAUUGCACUGAAAUCUUAACCCAAUAUAGAAAAAGACUAAUGAAAACUUUUGGUAAAUUUCAAUCCGAUCCAAUGAUUGAAUUGAAAAUUAUGCUUAUUAGAGAAGAAAUGUGUAUUAGAAAAAAUAAGCCUCUAACUACCAAAAUUAAUUAGCCUAUAAGUAGAUGGAUCAAGCCUUUUUUAUACAUAGAUUAAAUGGACUAAGAUCUGAUCAUCACUUGUUGAAGAUGUAACCGUCUUGAAAUUCAUCUGGGCUCAAAUACUCUGAAUUAGCUUAUUGAAUUAUUCUUUAAGCUUUUAUGCCCUUGAUCUUGUAAUUGGACCAAUUGAAACUUGCAAUAGAUCUUUUGGUGUAGUCUUGAUCAUAUCACCAUUAAUCUCCCACCCCAAGGGAUCAAUUCAUGAUUGUCUGACAUUUUUUGAGCUCCUGAUCACACCUUUUACCACUACAUGUUUUGAGGUAUUUCCUACCAUUUAGGGAAAUGAUUUAAUAUGAUACCAACAUUCUAUGAAGAGUGACAUGAACACAAGAAAAUGUAAGAAGUUCUGUCACUUUUAUUACGAUCACGAUCAUGACACUGAGAAAUAAAUUUCCUAAAAAAAUAUAGAAAGAUUGAUCGCUAGGAAUCACCUAUAAUAUUUUAUUAAAAAGAAAAUGAAACUCUUUGAACAAAUAAAGAAAGAUCUCUACCAUGAAUUACCUAGAUUAUAUAAUCUCCAAAAAUUGUAUCUCCACGUGAGAAAAUCUUUAGAACUUUUUGAAUAAAAGAAGUAAUGUUUCUCCAUGUCUCUAAUUGUACUUCCUUAUAUCAAAUGAAACUCUUUGGUUCUCUAGCAAACUAAAUUUACUUAUCGAAGAUUAAUUAGUUUUGUAACGUCUUUCUUAUACUUCUCAUUCGUGAAUUGGUAUUCAUAGGGUGAGGAUUCUUAUUCCAAUAGUGUUGGUGCCUUGGAAUGGUUUUCAUAGUGUCACACUCCUAUCAAACCUAUUUUGGUUUUCCAAGAUUUGUUGUCAAUUUUAUUAUGAGUUGUGUGAUCAAGUAAUUACGAGGUUCGCAUCAAAAUUAGAGAUUUUAAACUUGAUAAUUUUAACUUUCAACCAUAGACCAUAGUCAUGAUUUGCAUGUUUUUAAAGGAUUAGGUGACAUGAUUAGAAAAAAAAAGAAAAAGAACUAAACCAUUUAGAAGAAGAUGAAAAUAAGAGCUUAAAGCUCUAACCAAGAAUAUAAGAAUUUCACAUGAAACUGAGAGAAGAGAGUUAAUGAAAAAAUAAAAGAGAGUAAAUUGUGUGAGUUUUUUUCCCUCUUCUUUUUGUGAUUUAAAUAUAUUUGAUAAUAACAAUGAAAAUACAUGCUCUUACGAGUGAUAAUAAUAUUUUUAUUUUUUAAAAUAAUAUUUUUAAUUUUCUUUCUCAAGUUUCUCCUUUCUUUUUAUGUUUAUCUUUCUAUUAAGUAUUUUUUGGUUAUUAUAGCUUGAAUGAUAUAAAUUUUCUUAGCUCGGUGAGCUGACGACUAUCUCUUGACAAAACAACUAUUAUUAUUAUUCCUUAUUCAUAAUAUCUAUCUAUGUAACAUUCGAUUCAUUCUAUUUUCUUUAUCAUGAUAUAGUUAAUUAAAAGUACUUAUAUAAGAGCUUUUUUUUUUUAAGCAAGUAAGCUAGUAGCUUAGCUCGAAAUAGUAUGGCAAGGAGUCAACUAUAGAGAGAACAUUUCUGAUUCAAAUCUUAAACUAAAUAUUUACAAUACUAACUAAAAAUGUGAUAAUUAAAUUAAAUUACAUGCAAGUUUGUAAAUCAAAAUAAAGUUAAACUUACAAUUGAGUUAAAAUAAUUUCUUCGUAUGCGGUAUGUGUGUAGUGAAGUUGUAAUUGAAUCAAUAAUACAUACAAAACAAAAUAUUAUACUUAAAAUAUAAAUCAUUAAACUAAAACCAAUGUAGAUAUAAUGCAUUUAAUUAUCCUAGAAAUUUGAACAAAAAAAGAAAAAUGUUAUUGUCAAUUAUUAAUGCAAAUAAUCUUAUUGUAAGUAGUUUUUCAGGGUUUCAACAACUUAUCUUUUAAACAAUGCACUUUGUUUAAAAGUCUAAGAAUUAAGAGAAUAAUUAAAUUAAAUAUCUUUUUUUAUAAAAUACCAUAACCUAAGCUCAAGAACAAAAAAGAAAAAGAAAAAAAAAAACUAAGCAAAACCAGUGACAAAGAAAGCUGGAAACAUAGAGGAAAAAAAGCUGCUGCAAAUUAUGAAGAACACCUCUUCAUCCCUUAUUUAUACUAGAAACUUGAACCAAAAUUGAUGUACACCAUAAUUAAUUCCCGUUGUUUACCGGCCAUAAAAAAUAACUUGAUAGCCUUUUGCCUUUAAAAAUAUAACUAUUCAAAUGGAGGAAAAUAAUUGUUCAAGCAAUUUGUUAAUGGGUUGGCUUAAAAAAACACUUUAUGGGUUUGAAAAAGUUUUUCAGCUCGCAGCUAUAAGACUCCUAUCAAGUCCAGCGAGCAAGUAUAUACUGUUUAAGUUUAAAAUCCAUUUAACCUAUGAAUUAUGCAAAUUUAAUUUUAACUCUUCAAUUUUUACUAUAUAACCUACAAAAUAUUUCAACUAAAAAAGCAUUAAAAUUAGUUUUUAUUUACUUACAAUUUGUUUUUAAAAAGUUAAUAAUCUGUGUUAAUGUAUAAUUUACAACAAAAUCUUAAUUCAAAAAAUGAGUGGACUUAAUUUUUAAUAUGGUAUUAAAUGUACCUAUUAAUCAUAUUUUUUAGAAUAAAAUUUUAACAUUUCCUUCUUUUCUUUUCUUAAUUCAGCUAUUAGUUUGGAAAAACAAAAAAUACAUGCCACGUGUCACAAUUAUAAGGGCACACAAGGAAUCACGUGGCUGCACGCGCAGAUUAUGUUGUCAUACAGACGAAAAACGAAAAUACGCUUGGAACCUAAAUCACAUUAAAAAAAAAAAAAAAAAAAGAAGUUGUUGAUCAGUUAAUAGCAAAGGACAUAUGUUAUCGAGUUUGUCUGUCUGUCCCAGCGAAUGUCCCUCUCGCGGAAGCUGUCAAAGGAAAGCAGUUGUUGCUGGCAUUCUCAUUUCAAGGGCCAUUUUACGGGCAUGCAACCUCAGUCGCUCAAGGCCCAACCUUGCUACACCAUAAUUCUCCCUCUUUCUAUGCAUUUCAAUGUAACUAAACCCGUUUAUUUACAGGAAAUUAGUUUUUUUUUAGAAAAUAAAUUCUAGAAAAGUGAAUUUCAGAAAAGUAUUUUUAAUAUUUAGUAGUAUAAUAGAAAAUAAACUGGAAAAUACUUUCCAGUGUUUGGUUAUGUUAUGGAAAAUGAACUGGAAAAUAAUUUAUUAAUGAAUUAAUUUUUUUUAAAUUUAUCUAAUAUAUGAAAAAUAUUAAAUAUAAAUAUUUAAUCACUUACAAUAAAAGAAUAAAAUCUAAAAAGUGUAAUGAUGAAUUUUUUUAUUAUAUUUUAUAUUCAUAUAUAGCUUAUUUUAUAAAAUAUAACUAUAUAUGUCAUAUAAUAUUAUAGAGAUAUAACCUUGUGAAAUUUUUCAUAAAUAAAACCUAUAAAUUUUUUUUUUCAAUUUUAAAAGCUUAAAAUAUGUUUUUUUUCAUAUGAAGAAAGCCAAAUUAGUUUAUGGUUUUAAGAUUUUUUUAACCAAGUAAGAGUUAGAUAUUUGGGUUUUUUGGUAUGAAGAUUUUUUAAAAAGAUAAAUAAAUACAAAAAUAUUUUGAUAGAUUUUUUGGAUAAAGAUUGUUUUUUUUUUUUACGGGUAUAGGCAAUUAUCCCUGUAAUAUCCCUUUAAUAUAUAUCAAAGAAGCAUUAAGAAAUAAAUAUGAAUAUCUUACAUCAAACAUAGUCUUGCAUAAAUAUUAAGUUUAAUUUAAUACUAAUACAUAUUAGUUCAAAUUAACAAACAUAAACAUGCUAGACCGAAUUAAACAAGUAAACAUACUUGUCAAAUAACAAACAUAAACUUUCUUAUCAUAGUGAAAUCAUCUUAGUAAUCAGGCCUAUAGCUGCGUUGGUUCAUAAAAUUCUGAACCCAAAUUUUUCUCAAAUUAGCAUUUUUUACCAUAAAUGCUUUUGCCAACAUUUCAUGUUGGACCAAGUGAUCAAAUGCAUCCCCAAGCGUGAUCUCAUCAAAGCCUUCAAUUUUCAUCACUUCUGUAUAUAGCUCAUUAACAUCAAGUUGAUUUUUGCUGAGGCUUUGGAUUGCAAAUGCUACAUCUCCCAUCUUUUUAGACAACUUUUCAACACUAUCAUCUUCAUACAUGCGAUUUCUCUUCCUAUGUUGCCUCUUUUGUGCACUAGAGAAAGAUGUCUCUUUUCCUUUUGAAGUUUCUUCAUAUUCCCCUUCAUUUUCAAUUGAAAUUGAUUGCUCUUCAGUGUUCUCUUCCAAGUUGACAUCAACAUAUGAUUUGGAAUAAUUUCCGGUUGCCAUAUCUUUUCCAACAACAAUUGUCAUUGCCUCGUACAUGUCAAGUUUUUUGUUGAGAUACUUGUCAUGAUUGGGAUGUGCCUGUUCAUAAAGUUUAGAAUACGAAAUUUUUUAGUUCCUUGUGUAACAUUUUGGAAACAAAAGUAAAUAUAAAAAUUAUGAAGAGUAUAAUAUUUAUCAUACCUUCACUUCUUCAUCAUAAACAUCAUUCGAAAUUGUAAUCAUCUUCAAACAAUCAUCCCAACCAAAGCCACUUUUAUUUUUAAGCUUGGUUAAUAUUCCCCAUUCUUUUUUCACAGUUUUGAGAUGAUUGUCAACAUGCUUAGGCUCGCAUUGAACGUUGAACUUUUGACUAAUUUUGGUAGCCACCUUAAUAAAAGAUUCUGCUCUAAAGGUGGAAGAAGGUUUGUUUCCUUUAAGUGCCUCCUCAGCUAAUAUCUCAAGUAUCAUGUGAGACAUAGGCUUAGACCAUGUAAAGUGUUUGCCCUUGCAUUUUUCAUUAUGAGUGGUACUUAUUUCUACAAAAAAAAAAGGUUACAAAUUUAUACAAAAUAUAAUCAUACAAUAUUUAGAUUUAAUAAAUUAAAUAUAAAAACUACAAUUAAUAUUUAAAAGAGAAUACAUAAAAUACAUAAGAAAUUAUAAUAAAGUCAACAAACAAUCCAAAUACAUAACAAAGAUAAUACAAACUCAAGCAAGACAUAAUAAAAACAAACAUAUAUAAUUAACACUCAAUUACUAGUUUCUUUGAGUGUUAUAAUCAUUCCACAUGGUUGAUGCAAUCAUUUCUCUUUUUGUUAUCCACUCUCUAUUCUCUUCCCUCUCCUCCCGUUGACUUAAGUUGAUUGUUCGUCUAAUUGGUUCACUUUCCGAACAUAUUUCUUCCAUAAGAAAGUCAUUUGAAUCAACUCCCAUAAUGUGAUUAUGAAUAAUACAACAUGCAAGCACAACAUCUACUUGUGUUUCAUAAGACCAAAAAGACUUUCCAUCAAUUGAUCUAAAACGACUCUUCAAAAUACCAAACCCUCGCUCAAUAGCAGUUCUCAAAGAAGAGUGUCGAAGAUUAAAUAGCUCCUUUUUAUUUUCUGAUGAAUGUUCUGUAAACUCAUUCAAGUGAUAUCGAACUCCACGAAAAGGAGAAAUGAUUCCUUUUCGAAUACCAUAACCAGCAUCACCAAGAUAAUAUUUCCCUACAAAUUAGAAAAAAAAACCUAUUACUAUCUUUAGCUAAUUAAACAUUUUAUAUGUUUAUUGCAUAUAAUAAAUACUUUAUUAUAUACCUUCUGGAAUUUUUAGACCACUAGGUCUUGAUAAUGCAUCAUCUAAAACCCGUGAAUCAUGUGCACUUCCUUCCCAGCCAGCUAAAACAUAUAUAAACUUCAAAUCAAAAGUUAUAGCUGCUAAAACAUUUUGUGUUGUUCCUUCUUUUCGACCUCGAAACUUUCCUUGAAUCUCAACAGGAACAUUUGCAGGAACAUGGGUACCAUCAAUUGCUCCCACGCAAUCCUAUAUAAACAUGAAAAAAUAAUUUAUAACCUUUUCUUCUAGAUGUAAUUAAUUAAUGUAUAAAAAUAUUGGUAUUGUUCUCAUACCUUAAAAUAAGGAUAGAAUCUUCGAUUAUUCAAUAUCUCUGCGGGAACUGUAUCGCCCGGGUCUUUAAUUAGGUGUUUGUAUAACUUAAGAACUGCUUUUAAAACAAUUCUAAAGUAACGAUGGAUAGUUUCAACAGACCUAUAGUAUAUACCACUAAUAAAACGAAAUCUUUGGUUUUGGCCUAUAAUUUGUAAGAACACAAUUACUUGCUCCCUAAUAGACACAUUUUGAGUUGAUCUUAAUAAGUCAUGACUUGUGAGAACAUCACACAAUUUAUAUGAGACAACUGGUUUCAUACGAAUUUGUUCAACGCAAUGUCUAUCACCUCGAUUCAAAAUGCUAUCUAUAUAGAAUUCUCGUUGAGCAAUUGCAUUUAUACGUGGUUCUCUUGGUAUAUAAUUUCUAUUUCUUUCUUGUUCAAUAAUAGCUACCCCUGUCGCUAUCACAGUUACAGCUGCUCUCAUACAUGCUGCAUGAAUAAUCUUACUAUCCAUAACAAAAAAGUGAAGUUUUCUGCUAACAAAACCUAAAAAUUUAGGGAAAUAAACAUUAAAAAAGCAUAUAAAAUACUUACAUAAUCAAUAUAAUAAAUUAUGCUCAAAGAAGCUGAUUCCCAACACAAACAAUGCCUUAAAAGAAAUAAUUAUAUAAUGAAUUAUGUAUCCCAAAACAAAAAAUAUAAUAAUUUAUUAAUGAAUUUUGUAUAUAAAUAUUUAAUAGACUCAAGUUUUUUACCCAAGCCAAAUCAGUUUUUUAUAACUGUGUAAUAUUUCUACCCAACAUCAACGCACAUAAUAUUUCACUAUCUAAAAUAUUUCUACCCAAACCAAUUCCCAUUUCACUACUAUGCAGCAUCAUCAACCGUUGAUUACUGUCCUAACCAUAUACUCUUCACUUAUCAAGCUUGGAACCCACAUCUCCACCCGACUUAACCACUGUCUAAUAUUUCUACCCAAACCAAUUCCCAUUUCACUACUGUGAAGCAUCAUCAACCGUUGAUUACUGUCCUAACCAUAUACUCUUCACUUAUCAAGCUUGGAACCCAUAUCUCCACCCGGCUUAACCACUGUCUAAUAUUUCUACCUAACAACAACGGGUAUAAUAUUUCACAGUCAAGAUUUAGCCAAACCAAUUCCCCUUUCAUCAUCAGCAUCAUCAACGCACACAUCACUGCGCAUCAUCAUCAACACACACACACACAUCACGCCUAGAAAGCACAGGAAACGCACAAAGCACAGAAAACACAUAUCAUCAACUCAUCAACAGAGAAGGAAAAUCACAUCGGGUGGGUCGGGUUCUACUGGAAGAGAAGCAAUCGAAGAAAAGGAGAUGAAGAUGAAGAGAUGGAGGGGAAUUGAAAGCAUAUGUGUUCGAUUAAACAAAAAGAGAAACAGAGCAUGGGUUUGCUGUGUUUUUUUCACAAAAACCAAACAAAAUGUUUUGUUUGGUUUCUGUAAAAUAAAACACAGUAAACCCGAUUUCUGUGAAAAAAGCAUAGAAUGGGAAAAAUGGGUAUGGGUUGCUGUGUAUGGGUUUGCUGUGUUUGGUUUCUGUGAAAAAUGCAGGGGUUUUGGUUUUUUGUGUAUGGGUUGCCCAGCGAAGAGGUGGAUCGGCAGGGAAGGAAACGGGGCUGAAGGGUGCCUUCGGCUUAACGAAAGAAUGGGUUUCUUUGAGUUUGCUGUGAUAGCAACAGUGGCGAAAUGAAGGAAUGGUUUCGUUUUUUGUGUAUGGGUCUCUGUUUGGUUUCUGGGAAAAAUUUUGGGUUUGCUGUGGUUGAUUUUUCCCAGGGGUUUGGGUUUGUUGUAUGGGUUUCCUUCCCACGGGUUUGGGUUUACACAGAGCAUGGGAGCAUGGGUUGCAGUAAAAUUAACAAGAUAAACAAGGAAAAAAACACAGCAAAUAUAUCACAAGACAUGCCAUUAUAACUGUUGUUAUCCAUUUUUGGGUUCCCCACAAAAAAAUGAAAAAAAUACAAAACAAUACACAUAAAAAAAUAUAUUCGGAAGAAAAAAAAAAUAAGAGUGAGAAAAGGAUGCUGGAACUACCAUAAAAUGGCUAGGAAUUGGUUGAGGAAGUUCAGAAAUACAAGAAUUGAAAUUUAACAGUAAGAACCCUGUUGAUAAGGAAAAUUCAAUUUGAGGAAGAAAAGUCCAAAAUCAAAUGUUUAUGGACUCAAUUAAAUUUUAUCCAAGGUUUAAAUGAAUUUAUGGAGGGUUUGAUUGCAAGAAAAUUGAUUUCUUAUGUCAAUUUAAGCUUUUAUUGGAAGAAAUUAAAGUUCUGGGGUCCAAUUAUAAUUUAAAGAGUUGAUUUGGUCAAAUUAGGGGCUUAAUUGCAUAAUUAUUGAAGUUUGAUGGUCAAUUAGGGACUUAAUUGAAACAAUCUGAAACCAAGGACCAAACCAGAAAAACGCUAAGAUCAAGGGAUCCAAUUACAAUUCAUUCGGGGGCUUGAUUGCAAAAUUAUAAAAACAUACAAGGACAUUCAUUUGAAUUUUGAAACGGCGCCGUUUCAUUAAAAGCAAUAUUCGUUGUCUCCCUCAAGAAGCCGUUUUCAGCAGUAAAGAAACAGAGAUACGGUUUGCAGCAAAAACGCCAAAUUGCUCCAAUCUUGGGGCACAUUUUAUGGCUGCUAUCCCGUUGUUUCCAGAUUACAAGGCGACCGUUACCACUUACCAGCACAAGGCCGUCUCUGGCCUAUAAAAGCAGGAAGAACAGACAGUGAGUGGAGCAGGACAGUGUAAGAGAGGAAAGAAAACCGAGAGAGGGAGAACGUGAGAAAAAGAGGGAGGAGGAGAGGUUACAGUGAGGAGAAAACAGGGGGAAAAACAGAAGCGGAGAGAGGGAACGAAAGAGACAGGAAACAGAGGGAGAGAAGGAGAGAAAAAAAGAGAGAGACGAGACGUGAGGAAGAACUGGGCAACACAGGGAGACGGAAACAGAGGAGAGGGACUGUAUAAUCUCCUUCAAAACUCCAGCGUUCCGGAAGCAAACUCAGACGAACUGUGAAGAAAAAAUUAUACCAGUAGCUAGGGAAAGCAAAAGAAAAGAAAGAAUUAACUAGAGGAAAAGCCAACGAAAAGGGGAAGAGAGCAGUCCAAAGUACGCCAUUGUCUUCGUCCUGCUUCCAGAGGAAGCACAGAGGAACAAAAAUAAACCGAAGAAGCAAAAGGAGAAGACAGUGGAGCAACACACGGGCAGAGAAUAAAAAAGGAAAACUCAGAGAAAGGAUAGAGACACGAACAGAGGACCAACAACAUACCAGUGCAUUCGGCUUCGUCUCCAGGUGAGUCCUUUCUUCUCUCUAAUUAACAUGCUACAGUAGCUGUGAAUUCACAUGCUACUGUAGCUGUGAAUUAUAAUUCACUUCUCAGCCGGGUCACUGGUUUGAACCAGUGACCAGGUUGGGCUGGCUGGGUCCAGCCCAACCACACAAAAAAAAAAUGAUAAUAAAAUAAAAUAAAAAUAAAAUUUUUUUUUCAAAAAAAUUUAUUAUUUCAAAAAAAUAUGUGAUUUUCCCGAGUACUUUUCUAAUGAAUUUUGCUUAGUAUUGGUUUGUAUUUUUAUACCGUAAAGAUACAAAUUCGGUAUUAAAAGUUUUUGUUUUCAUGCAUACGGCCAAGUCUCUCUAAAAAAAAAAAUCAUAUUGUAUCUUCAUAAAAAAAAAAGGGUUUUAGCAUGCAUUUUGGCUUUAAUAACCAGUUUAUUAAAGUCACGAGGACUAGGCCAAUAUUUCAAAAAUUCCAAAUUUUUUUUUUGUUUUCUUUUAGUAUCUGGGUUUGCGACCUUAUACGUAAUACGUAUUCCGAAUAUUAAAUUCCUUUGUUGACGUCAGAACAGUUAGGUUUUAUCCGAUAAGAUAAGGAUCUCCUUACCGAGGAGAACUUUUCUUAAAUCACAGACGGACCAACAACUAGAAAACACGACAAGACUUUGGAUUUUAUCAGACAAUAAAACAAUGCAGCUUACCUUAGGUAGGGCGUAUUUGGGGUGCUAAUACCUUCCCUUUACGCAACCAGUCCCCGUACCCGAUCUCUAAGACCAGUUAGGGUUCCUAGUGACCAAAAUACUAGGUGGCGACUCCCAUUCCAUUUUUCCAUUAAUAAAAGACAAGAAUUCCUUGUCUCCCCACAUUUUCCGCAUUAGAUACAUUACUUGAUUUUGAGGGUGGAUGUUUUCGCCGCGACGCCACACACGUGCGACAAUAACAACAGAAAAAUAAAAAAAAGAUGAAAAACAUAUAAGAUAAUAAAUAGACAUUUGAGGAAAAAAAUUUACCUGGAAGAAAGCUGUGAGAGAUGCUUCCAAUUGAUCUGUGUAAAUUAUUUGGGAGAGAAAGAGAGUUUAGGGAUUUGUAUUUUAGGAUAGUGCACGUUUUGUUAAAGAGAAAGGAAAACACUUUCCUGACAUAAAGCCUUUUGUUUUCCUUUGACCAGAAUUGAGUUUCCUUUGACCAAUUGUUUUUAUGUUCACCAAACAUGGAAAAGUGGGGAAAAUGGUUUCCAGGAAUUCAUUUUCCUGGAAACAAACAUGGCAUAAGGUGAGCAAAAUUAACAAAAACUUUUUUUUAUUCACAAUCAACUGUACCAAUGUUUUAGUUUUUUUAUUUGUUUUUUUUUUUUAAUUUAGUUUUUGAAUUCUAUCAUUUAAUAUGUUGAUUAGAAAUUAGAUUUUAUAAUUUAUUUUAAUUUUUUUUUUUACAGUUAUCUUAAUCUCAUAACUUAGGUAUAAUUUUGAUUGAUUAAUCGGAUUGACUCAGGUCAUUUUUUUCUCUUUUUUAAGUGAUUUUUUUAAAAUUUUAUUCCUCAGCAUUAAGUUAAUUGAGAAUUUAGCUUCAUAAUUUAUUUUGAUUUUUUUUUUAUAAGGUUAUUAAGAUCUGAUAACCUGGAUUAUAAAUUUGAAAAAUUAACAUGGGUUGAUCAGAAUUGAUAUAAUAAGUUGUUCUCUUAAUAUUUUUUUUAAAAAAUAUUCUUUCUUGAAAAUUUUUUUAAUCAAAUUAUAUUUUUAUUAAUCAUUCAGAUUGUUUUUAGAUCAAAUUCAUCAAAUUAACUGGAUGAUAUAGAAUCAACCUCCAUACAAUUUAAUUUUUUCUAUUAGAAAAGACAUCUUGUUUAUGUUGUUUUAAAAGAUUAAUCCAACUCAUACUAUAAUACAUGCCAAUAAUUUAGUUCUGCACUAUUUCUAAAUGUAUACCUUAGUCAUGCUGAGUUGUAAUAUAUAUAUAUAUAUUAAAACUUAUGGGAAAAACACUAUGCAUUUACUGUGGACAUAAACUCAUUAUACUAUGAACCACACUAUAGACAUAGAGUGUUUGCGUUGUGGCCGAUACUGUAGCUUCAUGGGGGCGUUGUCUUUUCUGUAUUUAGUCAAAAAUUGUUGUUGGGUCUGACUGCUAAGGAAAAUAUUUUCAACAAAUCGGUUACCUUUGACACGUGGUUGGCUACACCAAUUAAAGCUAGUGGGUUCACCUUUGACCCGUGACACAUUGGUGAGAUGACCUGCAAGCAAUGAAUGCUGAUGGUUCGACUAUAAAGCUUCCAUAAAUAAUUGCUUUUUAUCUGGGUUGUUGGGUCCUCUUGCUCACCAAGACCUAAUAGUGCUGGGUCUUACCGCCAGCAAGACCAUAUAAUAUUGGGUUCUGCUAGGCAACCAGACCCAAUAACCAUUUGAAAUAAGAGAAUAAAAGCUUUUGAAAAAUAUCUUAUAUUAGUUGUAAGAACAAUCUUCAUAUGAAAGAUUAAAAAAAAAAAGAAGUUCCUUACCUUAAAAGGAUAUAAUCGGAUAUCUCUUUUAAUUGUCUUUAAAGAAGAAAGAUGAAAAUGAAACUUUCUUCUCUUCUUUAUAAUAUGAAAUUUCUUUUUCCUAUGUUAAAUUAGUUGUCAUAACCCCCUAGAUCCCUUACUUAGCACCAUUUAGUACGUGUAAUAAAUUCUCAAAUAUUUUCAAUUUCAUAUUUUUUCUCUUUAAUUUUUUUUCUUUUAUCUUUUAUAAUUUUUUUUCCUAGUGUAUAGAAAAAAUAAAUUGAUGAAACUUUUUUAUUUUGUACAAAAGUUGGGUAAUGAUAAUUUUUUUUUCAUUUGAGAUUGGGUUGAAUUUUUUUUAUUAAAACAUGUUUGUUUUAGCGUUUUAAAAAUGUUUUAAAAAAAUUUGAUAAUUUUUUAUUUUUUUCAUUACUUCAAAUUAAAUUUUUUUAUGUAUUUGUAUUAUUUUGAUGUGAUGAUAUAAAAUAUCAGUUUAAAAAAAAAAACAAAAAAAACUAUCUCAAUAUAUUUUUUUAAAAAAUAACAAUGUUUUUUUAUCUGGCUUCAACAGCAAGACCAAAUGCUUGGGUCUGGUUGCGGAUCCAGAACACAAUCUUGGGUCUGGCGAUCGAGCCGGAUCCAAUAGAAUUGGGUUUGGCUGUGGAGCCACACCCAAUUGCAUAGGUUGUUUUUGCGGAGCAAGUUGGGUCUGGUUGGGCAGCUAGACCCAAGGAUAUUGGGUCUCGCUUUGCAGGCAGACCCAAUUUUUGUUUUCUAGUCAAAAAGUGUCGUUGGGUAGUUGGGUCCUGCUGGGCAGACAAAUCCAAUAGUGUUGGGUCUUGCUACGAGUCGGACCCAAUACUUUAAUUUUUUUUUUCUUAUUUAAUUUAUUUUUCAUACUAUAAAGAGGAAAUAAAUUGAUGAGACUUUUUUUAUAUUGUACAAAAGUUGGGUGAUGAUAUUUUUUUUUUAUUUGAGGUUGGGUUGAAUUUUCUUAUUAAAGCAUAUUUGUUGUUGCAUUUCAAAAAUGCUUUAAAAAAAGUUUGAAAUUUUUUUAUUUUUUUCUUUAAUUCAAAUUAAUUUUUUUUUAUGUUUUUGUAUUAUAUUGAUGUGGUGACACAAAAUAUCAGUUUUAAAAAAUUAAAAAAAUAUUAUAUCAAUAUAUUUUUUAAAAAAUAUAUUUUAAAAAAUAAUCGUUACGUAAUAAUAUAAUAACUAGCAUAGUGGCCUGUGCUUCGCAGUGGGUCAAUAAUAAUAAUUUUUUUAGAUGUAAAAAUUCUUGAGUUGGGUUAAAAGCACAAAAUGUAUUUGCAUCAUCAUCAUCUUCAAAUAAAGUAUUUUCUACAAUAGCACCAUGAAUACCGUAUAGUAUAGCAAUGCUCAAUACAUCAACAACUAAUUUCUUUCCCUGUAAUUUUUUUUUAAGAUAUUUCCAAUUUUAUGUUUUUUCCUCUUUCAAUUUGUUUUGUUCUCUUAUUUAAUUUUUUUCAUACUAUAAAGAGAAAAUAAAUAAAUUGAUGAGACUUUUUUUUAUAAUGUACAAAAGUUGGGCGAUGAUAUUUUUUUUCAUUUGAGGUUGGGCUGAAUUUAAUCAUUACAACAUGUUUGUUUCUGCAUUUCAAAAAUUAAAAAAAAAUCAAAAAUUUUUUAUUGUUUUUCUUUACUUCAAAUUAAUAUUUUUUUUUCCUAUGUAAUUUGAGGUUGAGUUGGAUUUCCUUAUGUAAUUUUUUUUUAUUGAUUGAACUUUUUUUAUAUUGUACAAAAGUUAGGUGAUGAUAAUUGUUUUUCAUUUGAGGUUGAGUUAAAUUUUCUUAUUAAAGCAUGUUUGUUUCUGUGUUUCAAAUAUACUUUAAAAAAAUUUGAAUUUUUUUUCUUUAAUUCAAAUUAAUAUAUUUUUUAAAUUUUUUGUAUUAUUUUGAUGUGAUUGAAAGUGGUGUAGAUCCCUGAAAUUAUACCUUUGGGUCCGCCUACCCAGUAGGUUUUAAUACCUUUGGGUCCAGUUGCCUAACAGGACUCAAUAGCGUUGGGUCUGACUGUCAGCCCAACCCAACAACUAUUGGAAGACCACUUAGGUCUGGUUGCCCAACUACACAAUAGCAUUGGGUCUGGCUACCCAGUAGGACCUAGUAGCUUUUGGAAGAAAACUUGGUUUCGGCUGGGCAGCCCGACCCAAUAGCUUUGGGUUGGGCUGCCCAGCAUGAUCCAAUGCUAUUGGAUGUGGCUGCGUAGCAGGACCCACUAGCUUUGGAUCUGGCUUUCCACCAAGACCUAAUAGCUUUUGGAAGAAAACCUGGGUCCGUUUUCCCAGCCAGACCCAAUAACUUUGGGUCGGGCUGCCCAGUAGGACCCAAUAGCAUUUGGUCCGGCAGCCCAACAUGACUCAACACUAUUGGGUCUGGCCGCCCUACAAGACCCAACGCUAUUGGGUCCGGUCGCCCUAUAAGACCCAAUAGCUUUGAGCUCGACUGCCUAGAAUGACCCAAUAGUAUUUGGUCUGGCUGCUCAGCAUGACCCAACGCUAUUGGGUCUGGUUACCUUGCAGGCCCAAUGCUAUUGAGUGCGGUUGCCCAACAGGACCUAAUAUCUUUGGGUCUGGCUGCCCAGCAGGACCCACUAGCUUUAGCUCUAGCUUCCUACCAGGACUUCAUAGCUUUUGGAAGAAAACUUAGGUCCGUUUGCCCAGCGAGACCAAAUAGCUUUAGGUUCGGCUACCUACCAGGACCCAAUAGCUUUUGAAAGAAAACUUGGGUCAGCUGGACCCAAUACCAUUUGGUCCGGCAGCCCAACAUGACCCAACGCUAUUGGGUCCGACCACCCAACAGGACCCAAUACCAAAGCUCUUAGGACUGAUUUUGCUGUCAAACCCAAUGCUAUUGAGUAAUUAUUUACAACCAAACUCAAGGCUAUUUGGGGUCUGGAUUAGACGCCAGACCCAAGGCUCUUGAGUCCGAUUUGACUAUCAGAUCCAAGACACUUAAAAUAUUCUCUAUACUUUUUUUUUUUACAUUUAAAAAAAAUUGUUAUUGGAGAUAUCCUAUCAUCCUGGUAUAUUUUCAUUAAAUCAAUUUUUAUACUAGUACUUCCUGAAUGUAAAAAUAAAUGUUAGAAAAUUUGCUAAAAUCAUUGUUAAUGGACAAUUUUAAGGCCAAAUUAAAAACAUUGAACACUUAUUUUUAGAAUUAAAACUUUAUUAGAAAUUAUUAUUUAACAAAAAUAUUUUCAUAUAAAACAUUAACAUAAUUAAAAACAAUUAUGGGUGAAUGAGAAAUUAAUUUUUAGGAAUCUUUGGUUGACAUGUUUUGUAAAACCCAAAACCCUAUAUUUCAAUACUAAAAGAAUACAAGAUUUUCUUGUAACUUAUGUAUUGGGAAGUUAAGCUUGUAAGGCUCCAAAGCUUUUAGACAGAAGAAACCUUAGGUGAAGUGGGCUUUUGACUUAAGUCAAACGCGCUUGCUCGCUCAACUCGGCAUGAGCUUCACAUCUUGGGCUUGAUUUUGGAUUUGAGUUUGCUAUGAAAUACUUUUUAGGCCUACAAAGGUUAUUUUUUGCCCAACUCAUGAAUAAACAAUCUUUUUCUUUAACUUGAAUAGUUUUUUAUUUAAACAAAAAAAAAAAAGAUAAGAUUUUAAAGAAAAAAAUUAUUAGGUUGAUUUUAUUUUAAUGACAAGUAAUUAAGAUUCAUAAGUGGCAAGAAUAAAUUCUGGUAAGUACGAUACCAUAAUUAAUUCUAUAUUAGUUUUGGUUCCAAAAUCCACUAUAAAAAGGGGUCGAAGAAAAAGUGUUUCACCUAGAUUUUUAGACUCUUCUUCAUUUCAUUUUUUCCAAAUUACUUUCCUUAAGUUUAUUAUUUGGUUUUUCCUUCUACUUUAGAGCUUAGAAUGUUAUGCUAUUGGAGUUUUAGAAGGCUUAUUGUAAUAAUUUUGUUUAUAUUAAGUGACGAGCAAUAGAGCUUUAAGAAAAAAAUGAUUGAUUCUUAACAAUAAUAAAUCUUUAUCUUAAUUUCAUUUUAAGUGCUUCAGUAAGUAUACUUAACAAUCUAGUUUAAAAAUUGUUUAUGCAAUUUUGUUCAAGCAUGUUUCUUAUGUUUUAAAGCUUUAGUUUGAUCUUAUGAUUACAAAAUUAUUCUGCAAACUUAUUUUUAUGUUAGAAUACAUUUAGUUCAUGUAUAAUUAUACAUUUUAUAAUUUGAAUUCUAGAAAUACAACCAAUAUAGUCUUUCAAUCUUCAUAUUGCUUAGUUCUAUGCUAUUUUUUAAAAUAGUAACAUAAUCAAUGUCUGGCAUGGUGAUUGAGACUUUCUAAAUUAAAGAUAAAAUUAAAAAAAAUAGAGUCAACACCUGAUACUUAAAAGAAACUAGGAGUCCUAAAAUAAACACUGAUUUUAGAAAUUCAGGUAAGAGGUGAGCUAUGUUUAUAGGAAGAUUACUUUCAAAUAAAAGACAUCACCAUUACCACAUCCUUUCAAAUAAAAGAUUACUUUAUGUGUUCUCUCUAAAUUUAUCCUUUAUCUUAUUCGCAAUCUAUUUUAGUUUAUUUUAAAAAUGAUAUCGAUCCAUAAAAAUAACAGACUCAUCAAUAAAUUUAACAGUAAUCCCUAAAAGUAUGAGAUUUCAUCAAUCUUGGCCUUUUAACAAAAAACAAUUGAUGUUAAUCCCUACAAAUAUGAGAUUUGGUCGAUUUUAAAUUCUUAAUGAAAUUUUUUUAUUUUAAUCCCUAAAUAAGAGAUUUUAUCGAUAUGGGAUUUUAAGCAAAAAAAUAUUAAUGUUAAUCCCUAAAAUAAAAGAUUUGUCAAUUUAGGAUUUUUUUUUGAAACAAUGGUGACAUUUAUCUCUACAAAUAAGAGAUUUCAUUGUUUUGGGAUUUAAACAAAAAAUCUUGACAUUAACUUAUAAAUAAGAGAUCUCAUCAAUUUAUGAUUUGUUUUUUUAAAACAAUUCUUAUGUUAAUCCUAAUAAUAGUAGAUUUUGUCGAUUUGGGAUUUGAACCAAAAUAUUUUUUUAUGUUAAUCCAUAAAAUAAAAGAUUUCAUCAAUUUAUGAUUUCUGUUGCGAUGUCGCGGUCGCACAAAUUAAUUACCCUAACUUCAAACACAACACACAAGAUAGUAUAGAGCAAGCAAGGGGUCGAUCCCACGAGGAAGUUUCAAGUCAGAUUUUUAUGUUGUACGUUAUGUAAUUGGGGGGAUUUGGUUUUUGAUUAUCUAAACUAUGGUAGCAAUUAAAUUAGCAAACAAAAUCAAUUAAAACCGAAACUUAUCAAGAAAACAAAUCUUGGUCGCAAGCACACAUCCACCUACGGAAAUUAGAACCGAUCCUUGAAACGAAAAUUGCAGUUUAUGUUAUGAAAUAUUAUAUUUUCUUAACGUUGAUUAAUUAACGAAUCCGCCGUAUAAUUAAUCCUAACCAACAAACAAUCAAAGUGUCUGCACUAAUGAUUCAAUUUAAUGGCAGCUUUAAGAACUAGAUAAUUUCAUCAAGAUUAACAUACAAGCUGUCCGCAACUUGUGUCACUUUGUUCAAAUGUUCUCCUUAAAUUCAAUAACGUAGUUCUGCCACAAUUAUCAAGCUUAGUUGCUUCACAAGUUCAUAUAUCACAACUCCGGUUUUGAUAUUAAACUUAGCAAUAGAUUGUUCACAACAAUAAUUUAGAGUCCGCUCUAGCAAUCAUCAACAACAAUCAUAGGAAAUAUGCAUAGGAAAACAAUCAUAGUCAUUCAUAACAUAAACUGAAAAUAAAAGGAAGAAUAAAUCUCACGGUUCUUGAAAUCCGAAGGUUUGUUGUGUCCUUGCAACCAAGAAAAGAGCUUAGCCUUGCAUAACUAUUGAACAUCUACUUCUAAAGAAUGAAAAGAGCAUGAUUUUUUGGGUUUGUAGAGGAGAGAAUUUGUGUUUAUUCUCUGCUGGCUGCUGCCUCCUUCUGCUCUCCCUCUUUUCUGCUAGCUGCUGCCUCCUUUUCUCUUUCUUUUUAUAUGCUAAGAAACCCUAGUCUCCAUUUUACAAAAUAGUCCUUCCUUAAGUUGGCAGUUUACAUUUAAGUACUUCAAUAACUAUUUUCCCUAAAAAGGAGAAAUAACCUUACAUGAAAUCUUUAAGCUCUGACUUAGAGGAGCUAAAUUGCUGAUAUAAAAACAUGGAUGUCGAUUUAGAUGCUUCGGAAUGUAAUUUGGACUCGUUUCUUCACGAAACCUGUUUGCUGGCAGAAUUCAGAUGUCAUCUUUGAAAAAUCAUAUCUCCAUCAUAUGACAUCUUUUUUGGCUGAAAUUUUAAGUGUUUAUAGUUCUUUGAGUUUGGAAUCCAAAACAAUUGAGUUUGCAUCAAUUUGACUUCUGUAGCUCCAGAUAUUAAAUUUUGAAUAGCUAAAGGUCAACAUUGGCAGAAUGCAAGAUUUGACUUUGCAGGAUGUGAUUUCCAUGAUCUUUCUCUUUUUAUUUUUAUUUAUUACAUUUCCAGAAAGGUAUGGAUGUUAGCUUUUUAUUGCCACUGGAAUCACUUCAUUUCAAUCUCUAGAACUCGCGCUCUGCACAAAACAUCGAUUGAACGUCAAAUCUGCCAAUUACCUCCAAUUUACUCAUUUUUACAUCUUUCAUCAAAAAGUGCCUUCAAAACAUAAAACAAAGAAUAUCAAGGCAUUUUAUAUAUAUAACAUGGACAAAACAUUAGGUAGAUGUGAGUAAAACUAUCGAAUAAUAUGGUUACAUCAAAUACCCCCACACUUAGCUCUUGCUCGUCCUCGAGAAAGGAUAAAUAAAAUUAAAUUGAAAAUAACUAUGAUCAAUCUCUUAAUCUCCCAUCGAUGUCCAAGAGUACAAGCAUUAUAAAUAAGAAUAUAAUAAAAAAGGAUAAAAAAAUACAUAAAUUUUCAUGAAUUUGUUUACAUGCAAACUUCAAAACUCGAUCAAUCGUCGGGAUUUAAAUGAAAUCUAUGUCAUGCCAAAGUGAUAGGUCCUCUCAUUGAUAUACACUCCAACACUCAUGUGUUUAGGGUUUAUGUGUUUAAAUCUCUCAAAUUCAAUCAAUGAAUAUGUUCUACCAUAAGCUUGCUCUUCAAUCUCAUCUCCAUUACUAACAUAUUACAAACAAUGCAUGAAUCAAAAGGUCUUAUUUUCUUGUUGUAAUGGGGCAGAGGUUAAGGUGAGGUAAAAGAGAGUAAAAGAAAAGGUUCAAACCAAAGAAAGUAGAGCAUUCUGAAAAAUGAUAUUUCAAACAAGAUAUUCUCUCAAAGCACAUAAAUUUUCCAUCUUUAAUCACCAAUGCUUAACUUCUUUUGGUUUCAAGCUUUUUCAACAUAAAAUCUUAAGAACAUAAAGGAACACUUUUUCUUUCUUUCUUUCUUUUUCUUUUCCUUUUUCUUUUUGUUUUUCUUUUUUUUUUCUUUUUUUACCUUUGGCAACUUUGUCCAUCUUUUCAUUAAGCAUCACUUCUUUUUCCUUUUCAUAUAAUUUUCAACCAUAAUUCCAUGAGAUAUCACAAAUAUAUGCUCUACUGCCAGGGGAAAAGGAAAACAUAUAAAAAGUUAAGGCUUAUACAUGGAUAAAGCAAAGAAAAGAUAAACAAGCUCAAAAGGGACUCACUAAGGAUAAUAUGCUUUAGGUUGGCUUUUUGGUUCAAGUGAUUAAAAUUCCUAAUGCCUUUAUCAUCUUCAUGUAUAUUUGUAAUGGAAUAUAAUCUCAAUAAGAUAUGAAGCAAGUUCUAGAGAUACAUAUCAUUGAAAGAAUGCACACUCAAAGAAUAUAAUGUUGAAGGCUCAAAAGCUUGCAUUGGUAUAACACUAUAAAGUCAACAUGGCAUAUUCUCAAAGUCAAUCCCUAAACCAAUUAAACCUUAAAAUUUGCAUGCAUACUCCUUCAUUUGAUUUAUAUCUUCAUCUAUCUCAAUUAAUUCUCAUACAUAAUACUCAUAUUCUCAAAAACCAAUGGGAGUUAAAAAGAUCAAACAUAACUUUUUUUUAGAACAACAAAGAAAACUAAAAUAAGAAACCAAAAUUCUCCCAAUACCCCCACACUUAAAACACAACAUUGUCCUCAAUGUUGAAAUAAAAGCAAAGGAACAUAAGAGAAUGACAGAAAAUAAAUUAAAAUGCAAAAAAAUAAAAGAUAAGGAAAAAGAAAGCAAAUCUGAUUUUUUUUUGUGCUGGGUUGCCUCUCAGUAAGCGCUUUUGUUUUAUGUCAUUGGCUUGACAUGUGGCAUGCUCAUUCUUCAUAGAUUGGUUCAGCUAACUCUACAGAAGCGGUGAGUUAUGCCGUCCAACCUUCAUUGAAAGGUUUUAAACAAUGCCCAUUGACCUUGAGUACUUUGUUGGUUUCUAAACUUGUAAUUUCAACUGCACCAUAAGGAAAAAUAUUAGAAACAACAAAGGGUCCAAUCCAACAAGAGCGCAAUUUUCCAGGAAAAAGUUUCAAACGCGAAUGAUAAAGAAAGACUUUGUCUCCAACAUGAAACUCCUUUCUUAUAAGCAUUCGGUCAUGAAGAUUCUUAGUCUUUUCUUUGUAAAUCCUUGCAUUCUCGUAAGCAUCAUUUUAAAUUUCUUCCAACUCUUGCAGUUGUAGUUUUCUUGCAAUCCCAGCAGCAUCAUAAUCCAUGUUACAUUGUUUAAUGACCCAAAAAGCUUUGUGUUCAAGCUCCACCAGUAGAUGACAUGCUUUCCCAUAAAUCAUUCUAUAAGGUGACAUUCCUAUAGGUGAUUUAUAAGCAGUCCGAUAAGCUCAAAGUGCAUCUCUAAGACGUAGACUCCAAUCUCACCGGUUAGGUUGCACUGUUUUCUCCAAAAUGAACUUGAUUUCUCAAUUUGAAAUUUCAGCUUGGCCAUUCAUUUGAGGAUGAUAUGCUGUGGAAGUUCGAUGAGUCACAUGAUAUUUGCGUAGCAAUGCUUCCAUGGGACGAUUGCAAAAAUGAGUGCCACGAUCACUAAUGAUAGCUUUAGGGAUUCCAAACCUGUCAAAUAUGUGAGUCCUGAUAAAAUCUAAAACAACCUUAGCAUCGUUAGUUCAUGUGGCUUUUGCCUCAAUCCAUUUGGACACAUAAUCAAUAGUAAGAAGAAUAUAAAGAUUGCCAAAAGAAGAAGGAAAUGGACCUAUAAAAUCAAUACCCCAAACAUAAAAAAUUUCACUUACAAGAAUAUUCAUUAAAGGCAUUUGAUUCUUACGAGUGAUAUUACCUGUUUUUUGGAAUUUUUCACACGAUUUGCAAAAAUGAUAUGCAUCCUUAAAAAUAGAAGGCCAAUAAAAACCACUUUCAAGUACCUUGUGGGCCAUUCUUUUUGCUCCAAAAUGCCCACCACAAGAAUGAGAAUGACAAAAGGUAAGAAUGGAAUGAAAUUCAUCUUGUGGUACACAUCUCCUAACUACUUGAUCCACACAAAAUUUCCACAGAUAAGGAGUAUCCUAAAAAUAAUAUUUAGCAUCAGCUCGUAACUUGUCUUUUUGGGAUGUAGACAAACAUGGAGGGAAUUCUUUGGUGACUAAAUAGUUCACCAAAUCAGCAUACCAUGGUCUUAUAGAGGAAUGUAACUCAAGAUCAAAUUCUUGUAAAAGCAAGAUCCACCUAAUCAAUCUUGGUUUGGACUGCUUUUUCUUCAAAAGAUACCUUAAAGCUGCAUGAUCAGUAAAACACAAUGACUUUUGUACCAAGUAGAUAUGACCUGAAUUUUUCAAGAGCAAACACCACUGCAAAAAGUUCCUUUUCAGUUGUAUGGUAAUUGCAUUGUGCUCCGUCCAACAUACGGGAAGCAUACGCGAUAACAUGCAAAUUCUUCCCUAUUCUUUGCCCAAGGACAGCCCCUACCGCAUAGUCACUUGCAUCACACAUUAUCUCAAAAGGCUCAUCCCAAUUUGGUGGUUGGAUGAUAGGGGCAGAUGUGACACGCAUCUUAAGCUCAUCAUGGACAUCUUUACAUGCUUGAUCAAACACAAAAUCCACUUCUUUGGCUAAUAGUCUACAUAAGGGUGCUGUAAUCUUCGAGAAAUCUUUGAUAAAGCGUCGAUAGAAACCUGCAUGGCCUAGAAAAGAACGAAAUUCCCUCACGCAUGAGGGGUAAGGCAAUGAUGAAAUAACAUCUAUCUUAGCUUUAUCAACCUCUAAUCCACGUGAAGACACAACAUGCCCAAGAACUAUUCCUUGUUCUACCAUAAAAUAACAAUUUUCAUAGUUCAAGACAAGGUUAGUUUCAAUGCACCUUUUCAAGAUCAAAGAUAAAUUUUCUAGACAUUUAUCAAAAGAAUCACCAUACACCGUGAAAUCAUCCAUAAAAACCUCGAUUAUUCUUUCAACAUAGUCAGAAAAAAUACUCAUCAUGCAUCUUUGAAAAGUUGCAGGAGCAUUACAGAGACUAAAAGGCAUUCUCUUAUAUACAUAUGUACCAAAUGGACAUGUAAAUGUAGUCUUUUCUUGAUCCUUAGGAUUAAUAACAAUCUGAUUGUAUCCACUAUAUCCAUCAAGAAAGCAAUAGAAAGACUUACCUGCUAGGCAUUCAAGCAUUUGAUCCAUGAAUGGUAAUGGGAAAUGAUCUUUGCGUGUAGAAAGAUUGAGCUUUCUGUAAUCAACACACAUUCUCCAUCCACUCGAGAUGCGAGUAGGAAUGAGCUCAUCAUUUUUGUUUUUCACCAACGUGAUUCCGGUCUUUUUGGGCACCACAUGGAUUGGCGCGACCCAUUUACUAUCAGUGAUGGGGUAAAUGACUCCUGCAUCUAACAGUUUUAAAAUUUCAGCUUUCAUUACCUCCAUCAUAGGCGGGUUCAACCUUCUUUGCAUUUCCCUUGUUGGUUUUGCGUUGUCCUCAAAUAGUAUAUGAUGCAUACACAUUGAGGGACUAAUGCCCUUGAUGUCGGCUAAAGUCCAUCCAAUGGCCGUCUUGUGAUCACACAACAACUUCAUAAGUUUUUCCUCUUGCAUACUUGUCAAACCUUUUGCUAUGAUAACGAGAAGUGUAUUGUUGUCGCCAAUGAAUACAUAUUUCAAAUUAUCGGGCAAAGGUUUUAAUUCUAACUCGGGGGCCUGUAAAAUAGAUGGCAAAAGCUUUUUAUAUGAGAGUACUAAAUCAACAAAGACAUUACCAUGGGGAACAGUUUGCAAAGCUUGUAAGGCCAAUACUGAUUCGUGCACGUUUUGGGGAACACACAUGUGCCUCUCUAUCUCUUCUAUCUUGGUGAAAUCAUAGCCAUAGCUCAAAGUUAUGCUUAAUCCGUCUUCGUAAUCAAAAUCACAAACUUGCUGCACACACUUAUCAAUUUGGUCAUAGCAUGUGAUAGAAUAAACAUUGUUAUAAGGAUAUUUCAUUGCAUCAUGAAAAUUGAAUUCAAUUUUUUCAUCUCCUACCUCCAUAGACAAGGUAUCCUUACCACAAUCAAUCUUUGUGUUGGCAGUUUUCAAGAAUGGUCUCCCAAACAAUAUAGGAGUGCUAGUUGAUGAAUCACAAGAAUCAUGUUCCAUAUCAAGAAUAUAAAAAUCACAUGGAAUAACCAAACUAUCAAUCUUGACUAGGACAUCUUGUAUCACUCCAAGUGGGUAAACAAAACUACGAUCCGCAAGUUGUAUUACAAUGCUAGUUUUAUUCAAAGGCUCACGACUAAGAGAAUCAUACACAUGUUUGGGCAUAACACUAAUGGAUGCACCUAAAUUGCAUAAAGCUCUUUUAAAACUAGCAUUACCAAUAACACAUAGGGUAGUAAACGCACCUGGGUCUUUUUGUUUCAAAGGCAGAUUCUUUUGAACAAUGAAAGAUACAACUUCACCCAUACUUACCGUUUCAUGACCUUUCAGUUUGAAAGUUCUCUUGGUAGUACACAACUCCUUCAAGAAUUUUGCAUACUUGGGAAUUUGCUUGAUAGCAUCAAGCAAAGGAAUGUUGAGUUCCACUUUCUUGAAAACCUCUAAAAUCUCUUUUUCUUUAUCUUCUUUCUUUGACCUAGAAGAACUCAUAGGAAAGGGUGAAAUUGUUUUAAAACUGGAAUUCAUUGAGUGAGGAGUUACCUUUGGAGUGUUGGUCGUUGUUUCAGUUUGGGAAGGAGGAGGAUGUUCCUUCUUUGUACUCAAUUCAGUUUCUAUCUCUUCUUCUUCCUCCAUUUCAAUUUGUUUUGACCUUUGCUCUUCAAGUUCUUUCCUACUUCGCAGCAUGAUUGCACUAACAUUCUCUUUUGGAUUUAAUGCUUGGGAGGGCAACUUUCCAUUCAUUUGUGCUUCCAAUUUCCCUACACUUGAAGCUACUUGCCCCAUUUGCUUUUCCAAGUUGUGAAUACUUGACCUUGUUUCCUGUUGAAAAGACAUGAUAUUUUGUUGCAAGGUAACAGUAUUAGAAGCCAAAGUUUUCAUCAUCUCACGAAGAUCAUCAUUGGAUGACGACCCCAUAACAUUGGAGUUUGUGAAUGGAGGGGGUUGUCUUGCUUGAUAAUUUUGUUGGGGCUGAAAUCCAUGGGGAUGGAAUUGUUGGCCUUGAUUGCCUUGUUGGGAUGGGUUGUCGUAGCGUAAGUUGGGAUGAUCUCUCCAUCCGGGAUUGUACAUGUUGGAAAAGGGAUCAUAUUUACGCUGGGGCUAUCUGUUGAAUGUUCCAUCAAUUGUAUGAGCUUGUUCAAUGUAAUCUUCUUGCAUUGUUGGGCACAUAUCCGAAGCAUGUCCUUGUAAGGAGCAUAUGCUACAAACUUUCACCUGCUGCAUAUUUCCACAAGCCAAAGAACGCACAAGAGAAGUAAGAUCAUUAACUUUAUUUUCAAGGUUAGAAAUACUUACCUCAUUUACUCGUUUGUUGGAGAAGUCUCCACGAGUGCCAAAUUGUUUUGAGUUGGCUGCCAUGUUUGAGAUCAUUUGGCGUGCAGUCUCGGGUGUCUAAUCUACCAAUGCUCCUCCACUUGCAGCAUCAAUCAUACUACGGUCAGUAGGCAUCAAUCCUUCAUAGAAAUAUUGAAUGAGCAGCUGAUCGGGUAUUUGAUGAUGAGGACAUUGAAUGCAGAGUUGCUCAAAUCUUUCCCAAUAUUUGGAGAGUGUAUCUCCAUGAGAUUGCCGAAUCCAACAUAUUUCUUUCCUUAUGUUGGCAACUCGAGAUGCUGGGAAAUACUUCUCAAGGAAAAUCUUCUUCAUGGCAUUCCAAGUUCCAAUAGAUCCUGGGAGAAUAGAGAAAAGCCAUGCCUUUGCUGCCCCCUUCAAAGAGAAAGGGAAAGCUUUUAACUUAACUUGUUCUUCAUCAACUCCAUUCGGUUUCAUGCCAACACAAACCAUAUGGAACUCCUUGAGAUGAGUAUGAGGAUCUUCUCCUGCAAGACCAUUGAAUGUUGGUAACAAAUGUAUAAAACCAGAUUUGAGCUCAAAGUUUACAUUAUUGUCAAUGUUUAUGCACAAUGGUUGAUUUUCCACGUUAGGAGCAGCAAGCUCCUUGAGUAUUUGUUGUCGUGCAACCGCCAUGGUGUUGAGGAGAGCUUCCUUUCUUAACCUGCGUAAAGUGCUUUCUAUUUCAAGAUCAACCUACACUUGAAUUUGAUUAGUAGAACGGGUCACAGACAUAAAUCGCUAAGAAAACUCAAAAGAAAGCAACCACACAAGAGAUGAAAAAAAAAAAAACAAUGCAAAUUAUAUGAAAAUCCUACGCUAGAAAACUAAAACUGCCUAAAAACCUUAGAAAACAAUGGAAUUUGGCCUCGAUACGGUAGGGCUCUUGUUCAGAACGUCGUUUCCCAUCAGAAAACAAAAGGUCGAAACCUAAUUCCACAAAACAUUCUGUUUUGAACAGUACCGCUGCCGCAAGUGAACAGUACCGCCGCAAGCAAAAAUUCUGUUUCUCUUUUUUUUUUCAGAAAUAUAAAUAACAAUCACAGCAACUAAAAAUAACAGUACAAGCACAAGAAUCAACUAAAAUUACUUCCCCGGCAACGACGCAAAAUUUGUUGCGAUGUCGCGGUCGCACAAAUUAAUUACCCUAGCUUCAAACACAACACACAAGAUAGUAUAGAGCAAGCAAGGGGUCGAUCCCAUGAGGAAGUUUCAAGUCAGAUUUUUAUGUUGUACGUUAUGUAAUUGGGGGGAUUUGGUUUGUGAUUAUCUAAACUAUGGCAGCAAUUAAAUUAGCAAACAAAAUCAAUUAAAACCGAAACUUAUCAAGAAAAACAAAUCUUGGUCGCAAGCACACAUCCACCUACGGAAAUUAGAACCGAUCCUUGAAACGAAAAUUGCAGUUUAUGUUAUGAAAUUUUAUCUUUUCUUAACGUUGAUUAAUUAACGGAUCCACCGUAUAACUAAUCCUAACCAACAAACAAUCAAAGUGUCCGCACUAAUGAUUCAAUUUAAUGGCAGCUUUAAGAACUAGAUAAUUUCAUCAAGAUUAACAUACAAGCUGUCCGCAGCUUGUGUCACUUUGUUCAAAUGUUCUCCUUAAAUUCAAUAACGUAGUUCUGCUACAAUUAUCAAGCUUAGUUGCUUCACAAGUUCAUAUAUCACAACUCCGGUUUUGAUAUUAAACUUAGCAAUAAAUUGUUCACAACAAUAACUUAGAGUCCGCUCUAGCAAUUAUCAACAACAAUCAUAGGAAAUAUGCAUAGGAAAACAAUCAUAGUCAUUCAUAACAUAAACUGAAAAUAAAAGGAAGAAUAAAUCUCACGGUUCUUGAAAUCCGAAGGUUUGUUGUGUCCUUGCAACCAAGAAAAGAGCUUAGCCUUGCAUAACUAUUGAACAACUACUUCUAAAGAAUGAAAAGAGCAUGAUUUUUUGGGUUUGUAGAGGAGAGAAUUUGUGUUUAUUCUCUGCUGGCUGCUGCCUCCUUCUGCUCUCCCUCUUUUCUGCUGGCUGCUGCCUCCUUUUCUCUUUCUUUUUAUAUGCUAAGAAACCCUAGUCUCUAUUUUACAUAAUAGUCCUUCCUUAAGUUGACAGUUUACAUUUAAGUACUUCAAUAACUAUUUUCCCUAAAAAGGAGAAAUAGCCUUACAUGAAAUCUUCAAGCUCUGACUUAGAGGAGCUAAAUUGCUGAUAUAAAAACAUGGAUGUCGGUUUAGAUGCUUCGGAAUGUAAUUUGGACUCCUUUCUUCACGAAACCUGUUUGCUGGCAAAAUUCAGAUGUCAUCUUUGAUAAAUCAUAUCUCCCUCAUAUGAAAUCUUUUGUGGCUGAAAUUUGGAGUGUUUAUAGGUCUUUGAGUUAGGAAUCCAAAACAAUUGAGUUUGCAUCAAUUGGACUUCUGUAGCUCCACAUAUUAAAUUUUGAAUGGCCAAAGGUCAACACUGGUAGAAUGCGAGAUUUGACUUUGCAGGAUGUGAUUUCCAUGAUCUUUUUCUUUUUAUUUUUCUUACAUUACAUUUCCAGAAAGGUAUGGAUGUUAGCUUUUUAGUGCCACUGGAAUCACUUCAUUUCAAUCUCUAGAACUCGCGCUCUGCACAAAACAUCGAUUGAACGUCAAAUCUGCCAAUUACCUCCAAUUUACUCCUUUUUACAUCUUUCAUCCAAAAGUGCCUUCAAAACAUAAAACAAAGAAUAUCAAGGCAUUUUAUAUAUAUAACAUGGACAAAACAUUAGGUAGAUGUGGGUAAAACUAUUGAAUAAUAUGGUUACAUCAAUUUCUUUGAAAACAAUCUCUAACAUUAAUCCCUAGAAAUAAAAGAUUUUUUUAAAUUGGGAUUUAAACAAAUAUUUUUGAUAUUAAUCCCUACAAAUAAGAGAUUUUAUCGAAUUGACCAAUAGUAAAAAUUUAAUGUUAAUCCCUUAUAAUAAAAGACUUAUUGAGAAGGUUUUUGAUUAAAAAAAAACUUAACGUUUGCACCGUGUUCCCAAAAAAUUUAAAUUUUGUUUUUUUUGCUAAAAAUUAAUUUUUUGUGUGUUUUGGAUCGUUUUAAUGCACUAGCUGAUCUCAAAAAUGAUUUUUUCAAAAUAAAAAAAAUAUUAUUUUGAUGCAUUUCGAUAUAAAAAACACUUUAAAAAACAAUCUCAACCACACUUCCCAAACAUGUUAAAAGAAACUUUUUUGUUUACUGCGAGCAUGAUUUUAAAGGGUUGAAACUAAAUAAUUUAUAGAUGCAUUUUAUAUGUACAUAUGGUUAUUGGGUGGGACCCUAGGAUACAAAUGAAUUUAUAUCUUCCUCCUUUUUUUAUAAUAAACUUAGGACUGUAAGUCUAAUAUAUUGAUGUUGGACUAUGAAACUAAACUUUGGAUUACAAAAAUUAUGCUACCAUUUAGAUCAAAACAUCUCAUUUACACAAUUUUGGUUCAUGAAUUAAACCCUAUCAAGCUACGACUUUUGUUCAUAAUGUAUAUAUAUUUUGCAAGAAUUAAACAAAGAAAAUGCAGACAUGAGAUAUGCUUCCAUUUUUAAACAACAGUUACGAAUGCCAGUCAGGAAACAAAAAAGAAAAAAAAAGCAAGCAAAGAUCCUGGCUACUGGAAAUAGUUUCUCUCCCUCAACUCAUAAAUUAUAAGCAACGAGAUGGGUGGAUGUCCAUGGUUUAAUCUUGCAAAGAGGGAAAGACUUUGAAAUUUUGUUAGCCAGAUGAUGCAGUAACCAACCUUACAAUAUUCUUCAUAUUUCUGUUGUUAUGAGAAUCAAGUUUUUAUCUGCAGGUUUCACGACUUCCCAAAGCGUUACAAGGAAAUGAAACAUGUUAUCAAUCAUGUGUAAAGAAAUGGCCUCCUGUAAGCAAGGGAACAACAAUUGUGGUUUUUUCAGAAAAUUAUACAUGCUACAGAGGAGGAUGAGAUUAGAGUUUGUAUCCUUGGUUUCAAAUCACAAUAAUAAAAAGAUAGACAAAUAUUCCUCCUGUAAAAUGCUAUCCCUACUGUCAACUUAUUCUCUUUUUUUUUCCUUUUUCUUUUAACAGAAGCAGGGAACCCCAAGAAAGGGAUUGAACAUAUGUUAACAUUCUUCCUAACUGGUCAAACAAAAACAAUGGAGAAUGGUUAAGGAAAUGGUUAAACCUGUCCUCUAAAACUUGAGCUAGGCGUUUUACGAAACUUGAGGCAAGAACCUAAUUGUAACAACCCGAGACUUUUAAUGAAAUUGUCUUUCACAAUUUAUCUUAUUCAUGUAAAAUAGCCUUGAAAUUUUUUUUAUAUAAAUUUUGACAGAGCUUCCUUAACAAAAACUCUACCAAAAACAAUACUCAAGUACCUGUUCGUCACUAGGCUCAUCAUCCAUUAAUUCCAUCAAUUGCAAGAUAAUACAGAAUAUUCACUCUUAAGAGAAAUAUCACAACAUUUCUUUGAAAAUAUACAUGUACACAAGUGAUCCCUAAACAAUAAUAGAUUUCAUUCUUUCCCGGUCAUAUGGUAUAUCUUGCUUGAGUACAUAAAUAGAUUAUUCACACGACAUUGAUUCGUUUUCUUACAAUAUUCUCCCUAGAAGUACUAGUUAAGAAAGUCUGAAAUACAAUGUUAAGGCUAAGGUAAUGGACGUGCAUGGAAUACACUUAGAGAAACAACAUGGUUUAUUUGUAUUCAUUGCUUCCAUUAACUUUUCUACAACUCCAAGACUGAACAUAACAUCAUUGAUCCUUUUUCGAGUAUAUUAAAUGAUGUCAGUAUUCAAAAUUGUUUCGUUCUCUUCAUCAAGAGUUAAUCUCUCAUUUCUUUCAUUUUAUUUAUUUUGCCAUAUUUUCCAUUUAUUAAGUUCUCUAAUUCAAAUAAUAACUCCCCUUUUUCUUUCUUAGUUCUCUAUGUCAUCACCUUUAUGAUCAAACUAAUAUCUCAUCUCUCUAUCCAUUUUAAUAAAUAUAGUCCAUAUUAUGAUUCCAUUAUGAAGUCAUUAACCCACCGCAAUAAUCAUAGCUCUCGCUUUAAGAGUGUGUUUGUUUUUGCUGUAAUUGUUGUGGUUGCGGUUGGAAAAAAAUGAUUUUUAAAAAAAAGCACUUUUUCUGUGGUUUGUGUAUAUAUUUUGAGUGUUUUGUUAAAAGUGUGGUUUAACUUUAUUGUUGUUAAAAACAUGUUUGGUUAAACCUGUGGUUGCGGUUGCUUUUGUACCCAAAAUGACAAAAAAGGACAUAAAUAAAAUAAUUCUGUGUUAAGAGAAAAUAAAACAUUUUGUCCACAUAAAUACCGGUAAAAUAAUAAAAGCGUGAUUUGUUAUUACAACUAAAUAUUAUUGUCCCAUCAAACUAUUUGCAAUGCCAUCACGAAUAUAAUCCAUACGCGACGCUCUCUAGUGUCCAGUUGUUUGUGAUUGUGGAAUGACAUCGAGAAAAGUAUUUGAAGGAACGAAAUCAGGAUGACUAUCAAACUUGUUGAAUGCAACAACUUUAAUGCCAUCAUGAAUGCAAGCCAAUGUUUGCAUUGCCUAGUAUUACAAAUAUUUCUUCAAUUUUAAUGCCAAUGAAGAUAUUGAUAAUAUAUUAAUAUGUGAUGUAUAGAGAGCAUUACAGUUGGCAGAAGUUUAGACAAAGAAAACCUUCAGUUUAUAUUCUACAAAAAAAAGCUUAUAUGUCACUAUGAGACCUAUGAACGAAGACUAUUUAAAAGCAUAUAAAGUACAAACACAAGAAAAACGACCGUGAUGUUGAGGACAGAUAGGGCUAAUUAAUUUCUUGGUAAAGGUUGCAGCGUUUUCUGAACAGCAGCCACGGCAAAAGCAACUGCGAGUUGCUUUUGCUUAUCCUGCAUUUGGAACGCAAUUUGUGUGGGCCCCAUGAAGUUUGAAAACGUGGGUAGCUGUUAACUAAACAGCUUGAAACAAUAGAACCGCAGGAAACGUGGACCCUCCCACGUAACCAAACAGAUUCUAAGUCAACCAUGUUCAUGGGUCUGACCCAAUGUUGAUAGCUCAUGCUUUAAUUAUGUAUCCAUUACUCCAAUUUAAUGACCAUAGCUCGUGCUUUACUAUGUGUUCAUUAAACCAAUUUGAUGCUCAUAACUCAUGCUUAAAUUCAAUUAUGAAUUCAUCAAUAUGAAUCAAUGCUCGUGGAUCAAGCUUUGAUUCAAUUUUUGGAUUCAUUAAUCCAAUUUGUACACUUUUCUCAUGCUUUGAGCCAACCGUAUUUAAUGAUUCAUUUCAAUACCUAUAUUUCAGGCUUUAAAAUCAAUUGUAUUCAUUGAUACUAUUCAAUAAUUAUAGGUUGUACUUCACACUAAUUAUAUUCAUUGAUCAUGUUUUAAUAUCUAUAACUUAUGUUUUAGGCCAACCAUAUCUAAUGGUUCAAUUCAUUAGUUGUGAUUCGUGUUUUACAUCAAUCAUGCAUUCAUUACUUCCUCUAAAAAAUCGUAGUUGUACUCUACAUCAAACAUGCACCCAUCAAAUCAUUUAAAUAAUCAUAGCUUCGUUUCAAUAUUCAUAACUUGUACUUUGUUUCAAUUAUGUAUUCAUUAUUCCAUUUCAAGUCAUUAUAGCUUGUGUCGUAUAUCACUCGAAUUCAUUGAUUCAUAUCAAUAUUUGUAACUCGUGCUUCAUGCCACCCUUGCAUUCAUUGAUUCUUUUCAAAAUUCACAACCUACGCUUGAUGUCAACCUUACACUUAUGGAUCUAUUUUGAUAACUAUAGCUCGAGGUUUAAGGCAAUUAUGUUUAUUUAUUCAUUAUAAUAUUCACCAUCUUGUGUCUUACAUCAACUAUUAAAUACAUUUAAUGAUCUAUUUUAAUAACCAUAGCCUGUAUUAUGCAUCAACUAUGCACUCAUCGAUUCAUUUUGAUAAUCAUAGAUCACAUUUUACAUUAUCUAUAAUCAUCAAAUUGUUUAAUAAACUUAACUUGUUCUUUAAAAAAUUCAUUGCAACCAACUUAACUUCAUAUUAUAGCCCCCAUAAUUGCUGCUAGCUUUUCACAUCUCAUUCCCCUCGCAACUAUCUGACUAUUUCAAUCAUCUAUUUGUCCCCAUCAUUAAGGCAUAUUCAUUUUCAUAUCAUUUUCCUGCCUUGUAGGUCUAUUUCCACUUAAUAUCAUUAACUUGCCCCGAAAGAAUAAUUUAUAUGAUACCAUUUUCCCACCCUGAAGGUAUUUUCCAACCCCAAAGAUAUAAUUUUUUUUAUAUCAAUUUUUUUGAUAAUGAGCACUUGUAUAUAGAUAGCUUGCAUUCUAACAUUUACAUUAAUAACUUGAAAAAUCAAAGGGGUAAAGGGUGAACCCUUACCUAAAGCUCUUGUUAUGCAUGCUCUUGAGAAAGCAAGCUCCACUCCGGACGCUUCUCCUACAAAUCCCAAAUGAUAACAAAUUGACAUCUUUUUUGGCCAAACACACAUAUAUUUGUUCAUUUAGCAACCAAUUUAGCCUCAACAAAUAAGUACAUAAGUUACCAUAAACAUUUGCACAAUCUUAGCUUAUUUCAGCCAUUACAAGCAUACACGUAAUCAAUCUAUUCUUUAACAAUAACAUAAAACAUUUGACCAUUCACACCUCAACACUCAUACACCCUUGGCUCUCUAUUUCCCUAAAUGUUUUAGCAAAUAUCAACAAUAUCACACACAUACUUUUUGGCCAUCAAUCCAUUAACACACAUACACACUAUUUGGAUGAACAAUCCAUAACACACAUAUAUAUUCUUUUGGCCAUAACAUCUCACACUUACAUACAUUCAUGACUAUUAUAACAGUCCAUAAAUACAUGCAUUUAUAGCUAUCAUAGCAGCCCAUAAUUUCACACUUUUAGGGUUGUCAUAAUAGCUCUUAAUCAUACAUAUUCUUAGUUGUUGUAAUAACUUACAUUCACCUAUAUAAAUACUGCUAUGGUAUCCCUUAAACUCUCUAUUUUCCCUGCCAUAAUAGCCCUAAAUUACACACAUAACAUUGCCCAAAUCAGCCCAAACUCGCAUACUUUUGUGUUACUAUAACAACCUUGAAUUACACACAUAAUGCUCCCAAAUUAGCCUAAUAUUACACACUUUUAUGUUGCUAGCCCUUUAUUAUGCACAUAACGCUACCCGAAUCAACCCAAACUUGCACUCUUUUGUAUUAAUAUAACAACACCCAAUCUUCACACAUUUAGGCUGUGAUAGCAACCUAUAAAUACUCAAUCUAUGGUUGUUAUUCCAACAACAUUUGACCAAGGAGAAGGAGACAACAUACAACACAAUUACUGUAACAACCCCGAUUUUUCUACAUUCUUUUUCGCAAUAUAUUGCAAAUUUUCAGGUAAUUUUUUUUUGACAGGUUCCACCAAAAUUUCAGCAGAGUCUCCCCUAUACUGGUAGGUCCCAAGUUAUCGACAUAUACUCUAUUUACACUUCUAAUAUCUCACAUCUCAUAACUCAAAAUCAUGACCCAAUCAUCCUGGGUCUCGACCCAAUCAUUAUCAUCAACACGACACAUCUUAUUCAAUAACAUCAUAUAAUGUAGUUCAAAUGAAAGAUUCAAUUUCAACUAUAAAGAUGCAUGGUCAAAUAGGUACUAAGAGUUUCAACCAUUAGAUUAAAGACAUACAUUCAAAUUUACGGAUUAAUCUUACAUCUCAAGUUUUAGGAGAUAAGUCUUUUAAUUUACAAAUAAUUUACAUGAUCAAAAGUAAAAGAUAUCUAAACUAGUAUUUCCCUUGACGUGACCCUGAUGGACCUGAAAAUAAAAAUUAACAUGUACAUAUAAAUAUAAAAGAUAGUAACAAGCAAUAACAAUGGCAGACAAUAGUCUCUACGAAAUUUCUUUUGAUAUAUAAAAUUAGGCAUAAACCUCUUUUACAACAUAUAUUUUCCAUCUAUUGCCAAUAUCCAUCUAAUAUCCUGUCUCAUUUGCCAAGAAUAAUUCCAUCUUGAAAAUCUCAACACAACUCAACGGUUUGCGAACACCAUCUCCUUAUAAAUCAAUUCUCACUUGAUAUCAAGAUAUUCCUCUCUUGGUAUCAUUAGCUUAUCUCAUUCUUUUGGAAUAAUCAAUCAAUAUUUUUCCUUUUCUGAAUCUAUUGCUAGAAGAUAAUCACCGAAAUUAAUAAAUCUCAUUAGUAUCAUUAGUCUUCACAUAACCUUGGUCACCCUCAUCACAGUGCCAAGCAUCAAUUUAUGCCUUUAGCCACCAUCAUUAUGGUGUUAAGUAUCAUUGUAAUGUAUCCUUAGCCACCAACACUAUGGUAACCAAUUAUCUAUCAAUUCCCCUCCAAUCUCCAAAUCAUUGUGUCUACCCAAUAACCACAUUAAUUCAAUAUCUUAGUCAUAUAUUAAUUAUUUUACUCAUAACAUUUAGAAUUUACUACUUCUAACUUCAAUCAAUUAAUUCACAUAAUCUUUUCAAAACUUAACUAUCCGGCUAACUCAUCUCGAUUGCCAAUAAUUCUGGUAAUUUCAUAUAAUUACCCACACAUUUGGUUAACCUUGGUUACCAGUACAUCUGGUAAUUCCAUAUGAAUUAUCCAGCCUCCAACUAACUUCUUUUGUUAGUCAAUCAAUCCUGUAAUUCCAUACGAAUUACCCAUAUCCAGUUAACUUCCUUGUUAACCAAUAAACCCGGUAAUUCUCUUAAUUACCCAAGCAAUCUGGCUAACCCAUCUUGGUUGCCAAAGUCAAUCCGGUAAUUCCAUACGAAUUAUAUAGCAUCCGGCUAACCUCUUUUGUUAGCCAAUUAAUCCAGUAAUUCCAUACGAAUUACAUAACAUCCGGCUAACCUCUUUUGUUAGCCAAUCAAUCCGGUAAUUCCAUACGAAUUACCUCAUAUCCAGUUAACUUCCUUGUUAACCAAUAAACCCGGUAAUUCUCUUAAUUACCCAAGAAAUCUGGCUAACCCAUCUUGGUUGCCAAAUUCAAUCCGGUAAUUCCAUACGAAUUACCCCACAUCCGGCUAACCUCUUUUGUUAGCCAAUCAAUCCGGUAAUUCCAUACGAAUUACCCAGCACUCGGCUAACCUCUUUUGUUAGCCAAAUAAUUUCGGCAAUUUCUCUUAAAUUAACAAUAAUUCUCAUUUGUAAUAAUCACUCAACUUAUUCAUUUGUUUCAUUCUUUUAACAUCAAUUAAACACACAACACAGACAUUUAAGAAAAACUAAUAAUUACAAGAUAAGGUGAUGAAUCACCUACCUAGAAUAGGUGCACGUGUUGUCACUCUAUGCAAUUGUCUAGUCCCCACAGCUUCCCCUGUACCACCAGGGAUUCAUUUUUUAUCAAUAAUACAACCAACAUCACAUCUUCAUUUAAUUCUCAUUCAACUAGUAUUCUCAAACCAAUCACAAGGAAUUUUCUUUAAGAUCUUAUACUCUUACUCAUUUUCAUGUUUAUAUUCAUUCUUAUAAUUUUGUUAUCAAAACCAUCACUCAACAGCAAUUCCAAGCAAAGAUUAAAAAUUGUCUAAUUCCGAUCAAUUUAGCUUAACCAACCCAAAACACUAUCUAGUGUCGUAAUCAUAACUAAAGCUGUAAAACUCAAUUUUGAGCGUGAUUUAUCUCUAUGAAAGGCUAAAACAUGGAAAUACAACUUUUAUGAAGAAACCAACUCCAAAUUAUUUUAGUUUUAAGGCUAAAAAUCAACAAUCACGAUAGCCCCUCCUUUACAGCUAAAAUUUUGGACAACGAGGAUUUCCGUUCCUUGGAAAUCCUUUUCAACUUCCAACUUAUUUUCAUGCAAAAACAACAUCAUUCAAGGUCAUUUGGCAUCAUUAAAUCACAAAUUCAAACCAAUUCUAAAGCAAAACAUUCAAACAAUUUCCCUACCUCUACAAUGUAGCAAGAUUAGACCAAAAAUAAGGAAACUCAUUCCUUUUGGGAUUUCUCCCAUUAUUAUUUUUAAUACAACAAAAUGAUGAACUAUUCAUUUUCUUUCGUUUUCUCCUCGUGCGAUUAAACAUAUACGGAAAACCUUAACAAUUUAUAUUCUUAAAUCAUUAUCACAACAACCCUUAACAAUUAAUAUUCUUAGAUCAUUAUCACAACAACAAUUUCACCCUACUAGUUGGAAUCCAUGACACUAUUCAUUAACUAGUCAAUUUGACAAAAAUACUUAUGGCUAGCUUUAAAUAUGUUUUAUUUUCCAAAUUUCUCUCAUUUCAAUUUCUUCAUGGUUCCACCCCAUUUAUAUCCACACAACCAACAAGUUAGCUUUGUAUUCAAUCAACAUGUUCACAAAACAAUGUUCCUUACUAUUAUUACACAAUAAUCAUUCUUCCCCUCAUAUAAAGAAUACACAAUUAAUCUAUAAUAAUACUAAUAACAAGAACAUAUUUUACCAUUACAUCUUCCAUAAAACCUACACCCACACAAUUCUAAUUUCAUCAAAACAUGUAUUUAAUCAAGCUUACUACAUUUUGCCAAAACUAGCAAUAGAUUCAAAAAGCAAUAAGUCAUUAACCUCUUAUUAUUGUUUCAAACCCAACGGUCAAACUACAUAUCAUAGGGUUGUUCAUAAUAUAUCUCAAAAGCAUAAUGAUCCAACGGUUAGAUCUGCCUAGAUUUGCAUAAAACCGAGCUCACCUAAAAAUGGACAAGUUAAUGUUCAACAUGCACGAAAACUUUCCGGAGAAUGCGUUUCCGAGCUCCACCAUCCAGAAUGAAGGCAACAUCUAGGUGCACAACAUAUCCAAGAAUGAGCAUGAUCCAACGGUGGAAGACGGAUAAAUCGGUCGGCGACCAAACUGCCCUGCAGGUGCAUUUCCUUUUUGUUUUCCAGGAAAUAUCCAAUGAUGCUUUCUGUCAAACGGAUUGUUUUCCUUCCAAUCUCUCCGGUCAGUUAGUAGAGAAGUGUAAUAAGAACAACAUAUCUAAAACAAAACAUGAUCCAACGGUGGAUGCCAGAGAUAUGGCCACUAGCGCAUUAUUGGUUUUUCUCCAAAAUCUGCAGCUCUCUCUCUAUCCGCUUUUCUCUAUUUUUUUUCUCUUUUUUUUCUUUUGUUUAACUGGUGGCCUCUUUGCAGUUUUAUAGGAACUUUUUUCCAUAAUUACAAUUUUAUCCCUCAUUCAUGCCUUUAUGUAUUUUAUUUUAUUUUUCAUGUAAACUAUCUGGUUUAUUUCUGCUUAAAUCGUUACUCUUUACCAAACUCUGAUUGGGAUGAGAUAUUUAACCAAGGUAGGAAAACAUAUUAAUAGACUUCAUGCAAAAUUUCAUUCUGAUCCAAUGAUUGGAUUGAGAGCUCUGCUUCCUAAUGCAAACUUGUUCAGUUCAUGACUUUUCAUAAACAAUCUAGAUUUUUCUUGUUCAGUCUUCACAAAAAGUCAUAUCAAUUAUCUUUCUAAACCUUUAAGGUCAUUUUAUUAUUUUGGAACGUAUUCAUUAAUUUCCACCUUUAUUUCUUUAUCGGGCUUAUUACCGUUUCAAAAUAACGUCACUGAUUUUUAAUCAGUGCUUGCACCUUCAGUCCUACCCUUUUCAUUGCAUUAUCCUUUAUUAUAAUGCAUUCUUUAUUACCUCACUUAUUUCCUAAAAAUAUUUUGUCAUUUUCUCAUUAUUUUAUCCAUCAAAAUACGUUACCAGUUUCUCUGUCUUUAUGAAUUCUAAACCAAAAAUUCAUUUUAUGGAGGUCAUCUCUUCCAUUAUAUAUCAUUAUUUAUCUAUUAUUUCUAAUCUUGGUUUCCAUCACUCAUUAAAAUAUUACCACUUUCAGUCUUAUGUUUACAUGAGGGUUUACACAUCUACAUAUUUAAAUUAUAAAUUUCCAGGGUUUUCACAUUUACUCACUAACAUUCAAUGAAUAAACCUUUCAUCAUCUCUUCACUACCAAAAAAUCGGCAAAAACCAACAGAAUUACCAACGAAAUUUUUUUGUCCGUAAUUUUUACUGAUGAAAAUAAUUUUGUCUCCAAUUCUGUCGGUAUAUACCGACAGACAAUACCCGUCGGCGAUAUGGUCGGUAUAACCGACCGUAUCACCGACGAAUUAUAUAGUUAUUUUGGAAAGUUGUAACGGUGUGAUGACGUGGAUUUUUUUCAGACGAUUUUACCAACGGAAUGACCGAGUGAUUCAAACCGGGAUCUCCAUACAGUGACGUGGCACUGUCACCAGCGGACUAACCAACGGGUAUACUGACGGACACGUUCCGUCGGUGAUUCCAUCGGUAAAAGUCAAUAUAUACCCAGUCUGCCGACACUCUCUUCCUCUAUUUCUCCUUCUUCUUCCCCUUUUUCUUCCCCAUCCCACCUCUCCCCUCCCAAACUGUAGCCAACCACCCAUCCCAACUCUCCCUCUUUUCUCAACACAAGCACUCAAGUUUCUUAUACUUUUGUACAUGGUCACAACAUCAGUUCUUGUGGAUUUUAUUAUUUUUUGUAAGUAAAUCUAUCCUUUUUAGUUUUAACCUUUAAAUGUGAAUUUUAUUGUUUUUUUUAGUAUAUGUUUUUUGUUAACGUAUGUACUUGUUUGAUUGUUAUUUGUCAAAGAAACUUGUAGUAUGAAUGUAUAAUUUUAUAGUUGUUAUAGUUUGUUUUAGAUUUUGUCAAAUUAUAUUUGUUUGUAAAUUGUUGAAACUUUGUUUGAAUUACACCGAAUUAGAUGUGUUGUGAUGAAAUACAUAAUAGUUUGUUUAACGAGUCCGUUUAAAUUUUUAUCAAUUCUAUUGCGAAGUUGUGAUUUCCGUAAAUUUAUAUGUGUAUAAAUUUGUAUGGAUGUUGAUAGUUGAUAAUUGAUAAUGAAUAUUUAACAUAAGUGUUUUUUUAGUUUGUUGGACAAUGUCGGGGCAAACCAAUAUUUUUGUUAUGUUUAUUUACGUAACAUAGUUAAUUAAUACAUGUUGUCGUCAUAAUUUUAUAAAGGUUCAAUAGAAGUCAUGGAUGAUCGUUCAUGGAUGUAUCGGGACUCACCCCAAAAAUUACGGAGGAUGGAUUAUUGUAACGGGGUUCAGGGUUUUAUUAAUUUCGCAACAUCUAUCUCGAGAAAUUUUACUGAUGGCAGUUUUAGGUGUCCAUGCAAGAAGUGUAAAAAUAAAAAGUUUAUGCAUCAAGAUGUUAUAACGAUGCAUCUUCUAACCAAAGGGUUCAUGGAGGAUUACUUGUGUUGGUAUGCACACGGAGAACUAUUUGUUCCUAAUGAGAGCAUGGUAGAAAGGGUGGUUGGGUCAACUUCUAGUGCUAGCAACAUGCAUGAAGUUAGAAAUGACAACAGUAAUCCUUAUAGGAAUAUGGUUAUGGAUGCAAUGAGAAUGAGUGAAGGUAAUGUCAGUGAAUGUCCAAUCGUAGAAGAGGAACCUAAUGCAAAUGAAACAAGGUUUUUUGAUCUGUUGAAAGAUUCUAACGAACCAUUAUGGGAUGGAUGCACGAACCACAAUAAAUUAUCGGUCGUAGCACAGAUGUUCACCAUCAAGUCAGAUCACGGGUUGAGUGAGGCCGGUUAUGACAAGAUUAUCAAAUGGGCGAGAAGCAUUUUACCUGAAAGGAAUAGGCUAAAAAUGAACUUUUAUGCUGCCAAGUCCAUGAUAAAACCCCUUGGUUUAGGAUACCAGAAAAUUGACAUGUGCCCUAACUUCUACAUGUUAUACUACCUUGAAAUUGCUGAGCUGACCGAGUGCAUGACUUGUGGGCAUUCCUGUUACAAACCCAGAACUGGCAGAGGAAAGACUCUUGUGGCAAAUAAAAAACUUAGAUACUUCUCAAUCACACCUAGACUGCAAAGGUUAUUCAUUUCACCAAGGACUGCUGAGCACAUGACAUGGCACAAAUCACAUCAUGAGGUUGAUAGAGUGAUGGUGCAUCCUUCUGACGGCAAAGCAUGGAAACACUUUAACAGUGUGCAUCCUCACUUUUCAGCUGAAUCAAGGAACGUGCAUCUUGGGUUGUGUACAGACGGAUUCAACCCAUUCAGGUCAUUUACUGCUCCUUAUUCUUGUUGGCUGGUCAUACUGACGGUUUAUAACUUGCCACCGAGGAUGUGUAUGAGGCCGGAGUUCAUGUUUUUAUCUAUGGUCAUACCAAGUUUGAGCAGUCCGGGGCAGAAUAUAGAUGUUUGUCUUCGACCGAUGAUUGAUGAGUUGACGCAGUUCUGGUCCUCUAGAGCUUUGACUUAUGAUAUCUCGAGGAAACAUAAUUUUGUUAUGAGAGCGGCUUUGAUACGGACUAUCAAUGAUUUCCCAACUUAUGAAAUGGUUUCUAGUUGGAGCACGCAUGGAAAACUAGCAUGUCCAUACUGUAUGGAGAACAACAAGGCAUUCACGCUAAUAAACGGGGGUAAAGCUUCUUUUUUUUACUAUCAUCGUCGUUUCUUACCACCGAAUCACAGGUAUAGAAAAAAUAGAAAGGAUUUUUUUGUUGGCAGGGUUGAAAAGGAUGUUGCACCCCGUGUCUUUCUGGUGAAGAAUUGCAUGAUGUUGUGUCAGAGUACGGUGACAUUGUGUUUGGUCUCCAAUCAGGUAAGCAGAAGUUUCCUUGUUUUGGUUUGACACAAAAUUGGGUGAAGCGAAGUAUCUUUUGGGAGCUUCCUUAUUGGAAGACCAAUCUUCUCCGCCAUAACCUUGACGUCAUGCACAUUGAAAAAAACAUGUUUGAGAACAUUUUCAACGCCGUCAUGGAUGUGAAGGGGAAGACAAAGGACAAUAUCAAGGCUAGAUUGGAUGUAGCGUUGUUCUGUAACCGUAAAAAUAUAGAGUUGGUUUGUGAUGGGUCACGGCUCGCCAAACCAAGAGCAAGCUUCGUGUUAGAGAAAAACGCACAACUACUAGUCUAUAAAUGGCUUAAGAGUCUGCGUUUCCCCGAUAGACAUGCCUCAAACAUAUCAAGGCUGGUUUAUACGGAGGAAUGCAGAUUAUAUGGAAUGAAGAGUCAUGACUGCCAUGUGUUUAUGCAAACACUCAUCUCAUUAGCUUUUCGUGAUUUGUUGUCAAAGGGGAUAUGGGAUGCACUCACGGAGAUCAGUCAUUUCUUUAGAGAUAUAUGCUCCAACAAGUUGAAUGUUGAUCACAUUGAAAGGCUUGAAACAAAUAUCGUCGAGACAAUAUGCAAAGUUGAGAUGAUAUUCCCUCCAUCAUUUUUUGACUCAAUGAAGAAUCUACCCGUACAUUUACCGUUUGAGGUAAAAGUUAGAGGACCGAUCCAGUACAGAUGAAUGUAUCCAUUCGAGAGGUUAGAUAUUAAAGUUGCUAUGUAAUUCAUAAUUAAUGUUUUUUCAUUUUUUUUAAUUGAUAAUUUUUUAUUAAUUAUAUAUAUGCAGGUACUUGUUCAAUCUUAAAAAAAGGUUAAGAACAAGACGCAUGUUGAGGCGUCAAUAUGUGAGGCCUAUAUUGUUGAGGAGAUCUCAACAUUUAUCUCAUACUAUUUCAAACCUCAUUUGAGAACGAGGAUCAAUCGUGUUCCAUGGCAUGAUGAUGGUGGUGAAGUGCCUUCAAGUGAGAAAUUGUCAAUAUUCUCCAAUCCUGAACGACCCACAACUAAAAAUGCCGUGAGGGAAAGAUAUUUGUCUGAAAUAGAGUUCAGACAAGCAUAAAAUUAUGUCCUAUUUAACUGUGAUGAGCUAAGACCUUUUAUUAAGUAGAUGUUCGACCUAAACUUUACCAAGAGUGUACUAUUUAUAUAUUGUGAUACCAUAAACUCAUAUAAUUUGGAAUAACCUUGUAAGCAACAUCGAUGAUACUUACUGUCUAAUAACUCACAGCUGACCGAAUCCCAAAUCUUUCAAUUACAAGAUGAAAAAUUUGCCACGUGGUUUAGAACACAUGUAAGUCUUAUCACAAACUCAUUAUCUCUUGCAAUGUAAUUAACUGUACGUCAAUAUUACAUAAUAUUCGUUUAUUGAUUAUUAUUGUAUUUGAUAUACAAGGUUUAUCAAAUGGGAGGUAGUGCUGCUAUUUCACUGUCUUUACUAAGCUUGGGCCCUGAAAGAAAAGUCAAAUGCUAUAACGGGUAUUUUGUCAAUGGAUAUGUCUUUCAUACUGAAGAAUACGGGCAUGGAAGAAAGAUAUACAACAGCGGUGUUUGUAUUAAGGGAUCGACUUCAAAGUGAGUUUGAAGUUGACUACUACGGUAGAUUGGAAGAGGUCAUCGAACUGCAAUAUCAUAACGAAUAGAAUAGAGUGUUUUUAUUCAAAUGCUAUUGGUAUGACACAACUGACAGAGGAAUCAGAGUAGAUCCUCACUAUGGUCUCGUUGAAAUCAACUCAAAAGCUAGACACCGCAAUAUAAACGAUGUCUUUGUUUUCGCAAAGCAAUGCCAACAAGUUUAUUACACAUACACCCCUUCCUUUAGAAAGGACCGAUCAAGAGUUGAUUGGUUAUCCGUUUUAAAAAUCAAACAUAGGGGUUGUGUCGAGGUUGUUCAAGAUGAGAACAAAGACACAAGUGUGAUAGAUGAAGUCUUUCAAGCUAGUGAGUUGGUUGAACCAUACCGAGUUGCUCUUUCGAUUGACUUAGAAGAAAAUUUGAAUUUUCGUGUUUUCGACGAUAGUUUUGUUGAUGUUGACACAGAAGAGUUGAAUGUUGUUUUGAUCUCUAGUGGACUAGAGAAUGUUGAUGAAGAAGAUGAUAACUACAUUGAAGAGUGUGAUGAAGCUGAUAACAAUUCAAUUGAGGAUGAAGAUGAAAAUUAUUACUAAAUAUGUUGUAAAGCCUUAUUUUUAUAAUGUAAUAUUAAGGAUGAUAUUUUGAAACAUGAAAUAUUUAUUUUAUAAUUGUCAGCUCUUGUUAUUGUGUUGUGCGUGCUGUAAGUUUGCAAUUCAAGCUUUUGUGCAGGAGGAUAGACAUGCAUACAAACAAAAUUUGCAAAAAGAUUGACAGUUUUACCGACAAAUAGACCGACGACUUGGAACCCGUCGCUAUGAUACCGAGAGUUGCAAAAAAAUUAUGGAAUUUUGCCAUACUCACCGACGGCUAUACCGACGGACUAGAACCCAUCGGUAUUAUACCGAGAGUUGCAAAAAAAUUACAGAAUUUUACCACACUCACCGACGGACUAGUACCCAUCUGUAUUUUACCGAUAGUUGUACAAACAUUGCAGCCCCUGCCACCAUCACUGACGGAUAUACCGACAUAUUCAGCGACGGAUGGCGCAAAUUCCAAAGUGCACGACUGUCAAACUGCCUAGUCGGUCGGCUUAGUUACCGACAGAUUUGCCGACGGACAUCGAAAAAUCUGGAGGGAUUUUUGAAUUUUUGGUGCGAAAAUCAAUUAAAUACCGACGGAAAGUACCGACGGAAUUUAAUGCCACCGCCCAAAAAAUAUUAUUUUAUUGCCCGUCGGUAAAUCCGUUGGAAAAAUUGUAGUAUAAACCCCCCCCUCCGUGGUUCAUUUUUUCUCUGCACCUCAUUCCUAAAUUUAUUUUGAAUUUAUGUAGUGUUCUCUAGUUUUGUGCAUUGUUUGUUUAUUGUUUCUUUUGUGUAGUCUUCUUUAGUUUUUUCUUUUUAUUUGUUAAAUUUAUUUUAUUGUUUGUACUGCCAUAAUACCUUGAAAAUUUUGUUAAAUUUAAAUUGUUAUUGAUGAAUUUACCUUUAAAAUGUUAAUUGAAAUAUAGAAUUAAAUUUAAUUAGUUUAUUUUAAUUUUAUGAUAUUAUUGUUUGUUAUGUUUUUUAUUAUUUUGAUUAAUCUUAAUUGUUAUUUAUGAAUUUGUAUUGAUGUCAGUUGAAAAUAUAUAGAUGUUGAAUUUCUAUAGAUGUUAGGUUGUAUAAAGUUGAUUUUGCAAUAUUUGUGUAAUUAUCAAUAUUUGUAGGUAUAAAAAUUGUUGGUAGUCUCUAAUAUAGGGGAGGGGAGGUACUGGCGAAUUUUUUUAAAUAAUUGAAUUUAAUUAUUUAAUUAUUCUUAUAAAUUUGUGUAGAUGUGUUGAAUGAAAAUUUAAUUAUUUUAUUGUUUUUAUUGUAAUAAUUAUUUGAUAAUUUAGUCUUUUUUAAUUGUUAUUGUUGAAUUUUCCAUUGAAAUGGUAAUUGGAAAUGAAGAAUUAAAUUUCAUUGUUUUAUCUCAAUUUUAUUCUAUUAUUGAUUGUUAUGUUUUUUUUUUUUUCCAUUAAUUUUAAUUGUCAUUUAUGCAUUUCUAUAGAUGUUAGUUGAAAAUAUAUAGAUGUUGAAUUUCUAUAGAUGUUAGGUUGUAUAUAAGAUAUUCCAAUGGAGUCAAUUGGGUUGUGGUUAUUGUAAAGAUUUGCAUGUUUGAAAAUUGUGGGUACUCUCCAGUAUAGGGGAGGUGCUGCCGAAUUUUUUUAAAAUAAUCAAAGUUAAUUAUGUAAUUAUUCGUAUAAAUUUAUAUAGAUGCGUAGAAUGAAAUCUACAGCACGUCAUCAGCAGACGGUUGCAGCUAGUUCUUCUAGCAGCGAGGAGAACCUAUCCUUAGGUGUUGAUCACGACAAGGCAUCUGCGCCAACUUAUGAUGCUGCCUCUUCUAGCGCGGUUUCACAACGCAUAGGCGGUGUGCCUUCACAGCGCAUAGGCGGUGUGCCUUCACAGCGGGGUCAAUUCACCUGCAAAUACCAGGCACAAUGGAAGGAUGACCUCUCAAUGUAAGUUUGUUUAGGUUUUAGUUUUUUUUAUACUUAUAACAUAAUUUAUGAACAACUAAUUAAUAUUUUAUUAAUUUUAUUUAAUUUCAGGUUCACAAACAUUGAGGCUGCUAGGACAAUAACAUCGGGUUUAAAUCAUCGAUGGAGAUUCCAUUGUUUCAAUGGAGUUAAGUUUCCAGACAUCCUGAGUGGAGACCUAAUAUCGAUGCAUGGUUUCGGUGAUUUCAGGUAGGUGUUAACUUUUAAUUUCCAACUUAUUUUUAAUAAAUUACUUUUAUAAUUUUAUAUCUUGUACUAUUUUUAUUUUAAAUGAAUUAUUUAUAUACACAGCAUAAAUUUGAGUGGGAUAGCACGGACAACAAUGUUGUGAGGAGGGUAUGGGAGAAUCACGCGACAACAAGGUAAUAUCGAAAAUAAUAUUUCUUUUUAUUUUAUAAUUUUAUGUUCUAAAUUCUAAUUGGUUCGGUGACCACACACACCGGUGGCUCCGUCCCGUUCAGUGCACAUGCGAAGCGGAUGGUAAGAUUAAUUUAAAUGAAAUAUAUCGUUAAUUAAUUUGUUGUUGCUUAUAAAUAUAUUUAACUUGUAAUCUUUUUUUUCCUUACAGGCUACGUCUCUUGGACAUGAGCUGAGUCCAAUGGAGCUGUUUGUAGAGACGCACGUGUGGAGUCAAGACCGGCAAAAGAGGGUGUAACAGAUCGUGGACAACCGUGCUCAGCACUUCGUGGUAUGUUCGUUCAAUCAUUUUAUUUCGUAAGUUAUUAUUUUCUUAAAUUGAAUAUGAUGACUUUUUUAAAAAAAAUUCAGGAGACCUAUAAUAGCCGGUUGAGGGAGAGAUAUGGGGACGAUCCUUUGACCCAUCCAGAUUUCGAUCUGGAUUUGUGGAUGGAGGUAGGAUCAUCUUGUGGACCUGAUAAAAAUCGGGUCUACAGGCUCUCCAACACUACGGCCAAAAACUUGCGGUUGACCCGUAGUGUCUCCACCGUUAGGAGCUGUCCAUCAAUAUCGAGUACCCAGUUUGAGGAGUUCAUGGCCUUGAAACAACAAUAUGAACGACUCUCGACAGAUUAUGAUUAGCUCCGUCAAAUGGUCAUGGAUAUUAGAUCAAGGAUGGGUGAUGAUACACGUGCAGCCCCUUUUUGGCCGUAUAGUCCCGGGAACAACCAGCCUCCUCCUCCUCUUCCUCCAGCUCCGCCGCUAUUCUAGUUUAAUUUUGUUUUUUAAACACAUUAAAUUUGUAAUGAAUAUUUGGAUGAAUAUUAUUUAACUUUAUUUUUAUAUUUUUAAUGUUUAAUACAAUUUUAUUUGGUUAUUAAGUUUUUUUUACUAUUAAUAAAUAAUUUUUUUAAAAUAUUUUAAAUAAAUACCGACGGCUUUCCAGACGGAAACCAGCCGUCGGUAUUUUACCGAGAGUUGCAAAAAAAUUGCCACCCAUGCCACAAUUACCGACAGAUAUAUUUCGUCGGUGUUUACCAUUACUAUUACCGACAGAAUAUAUCCGUCGGUAUUUGACAAAGAGUUCUGAAAUAUUUACCGCUAAUGCCACAAUCACCGACGGGUAUUCCAUCGGUGAUUACCGUUGAAAAUACAGAUGGAAUGAUUUUGUCAGUAAAGUUCUCGUGGAAAAUUUUCUUUUUGGCACGCUUAGCCGUCUGUAAUACCGUCGGUGUUUGGUUUUUUUUAAUUCCCGACAGAAUUAGCAACGAAAUGAAAAAUUACCGACGAUCAAUAUUUCAACGAACAAAUUCCGUCGGUGAAGCCGUUGGUAAAAAUGUUACCAACUGUUUGUGUGCCUCACACCGACGGAAUGAAUCUGUCGGUAAAACUGUUUAAUGGUGUAGUGAUUUUUAGAGUCCAUUUUAUUGUCUAAGCUUAUUGUUACCUAAUUUUCAUAAUCCAAUUUAAUGACCAAAGUUUUUGCAUAUUAAUCAUGCCCAAGUAAUUAAAUAUCUCACAUCAUUUCUUCUCAAUCUUUUAUUAAAAGUUUAGUAGUCAAUACAUGGAUCCCUUUUAUGACAUAUAGUUAAUCACCAUUAACAUUGUCAAACUUCAAUUUAAUAAGUCUAUUUUUCUUCACACAAUUUAUCAAACACCUAUUGUGUAUUUAAAAUAAAUCAUCUUUUACAUAAGGACAUAUAUAUAUACUUCAUCUUUUUUAAAACAUAACAAUUAUGUUUUACUCAUCAUAAUCAAUUUACAAUCAUUCCCACCAUGAAUCCACACAUCAUAGGUCAAUUCACAAUGAUUUUAAUCCCAAUUAUACAUUUAAUUCAUAAUUAUGUUAUAUAGUCAACAUAAAUUCCAGCACUAAUUAUACAUACAUAUUCUUCUAGAACCCACCAAUAAAAAUUUCAUACAUCAUAACUCAAUUCAUAAUAACUAUAAUCAUAAUUACCUAUUAAAUGUAUCAUCAAAACUUAUAAUUUACAAAACAAAAUCAUCUCUAAUUUGAACCAUCAUGGCCUACCAUCCAAGGGUUUUGAAAUUCAUGUUUGGCCUCAUAUACUUCACUAAUCAUAUUAUUCAAACCAUCCUAGCAGAAAAAAAAAUCUAAGAUUUCAAUCUAAUUUAACAUUUCCAUCAUUUAAUUCCAACUACAUACAAUACCAACAACCUAGCAUAUCUUUUUUUUUUAAUCUUUGAACUUAAAGGAUAGAAAUGAAAUCAAAGGAAUUUAAUGCUUCUUACCCCUCAUAAACAACUCAAAUUUGAUGGGUCUUUUGAUUAGAGUCCAAAAAGAAAACCUUAACUUGUUUUCCCUUUUUCCACCUCUCCUCUAUUUUGAAGAACUCUCUCUCUCUCUCUCUCUCUCUCUAACUACCCUAAUCUUUCAAUUUAUCUGUAAUCUCACAAGUUUGUGUUAAUUUUUGUAGAACUAAAACACUUUCACUACCUCUUAUGCCAUAAGUUUGAAGGGAAGAAAAACACAUUGCUAGCCUCCUAUUUUAUCAAUGUCACCAACCAUAUAAAAAAAUGAGGAGAUAAUUUUCUAUUUAAUUUACAAAAUUACCCAUAGUUAUGUGCACAUACUAUUUUGUUUUUGUCAAGUCUUCAAUCAUAAAUAUCUUUUGCACACAAGUUUAUUUUUAUCUUCUGCCAAGGCUUUUAUUAAUUGACUUAGAGUGUCACAUUUGGGAACAUAGGGUUUACAUUAGAUAUCACACAUGUUUAUUUAUUUUUUAAGCCAUCAAUCAUAGGAAUUCUUUUGUAUGAGAUUGUAAUAUUAAUCAUGGGGUUUACAACCUUAAUAGAAGAAAAACAAGAUAUUUUGCUCAUCAAUUUUUACCAUUUUGACACUAGGUUUAUAUCAUACUUGCUUAUUUUUUAUCAGGAUAUACACUAAUAAUGACAUUAUAGCACAAUUAUCACCAGUUUCUUGUGAUCCCUUAGGGACAAUAAGAGAUACCAUAAACAUACAAUUUAAGGUUUCUAUAUUAAAGGAAUUUAGAAAACUAUCUAAGCAAGUGAGGGACUGAACUUAAUACCUACUGGAUUCCAAAAUCCAAAACUUGUGACAUCCAUGAACAGAAAGAAAAGAAGGAAAUCAUAAGGAUUUAAAUAAAGUUAAUAUGAAGUGUUAUAUCAUAAAGCCAAAAACAAAAGUAGGAUAUAUAUUCAAAAUUCAAUAGCAUGUUAUCAUGAAAACAAAAGAUUGCAUCAUACUUGGUUUUAUAAAACCAAAAACAAAGCUUUUAGGUUGAAUGAUAUCCCUUUCUUCGCUUCCAUAAAAAUGGUUCUCCUCGUUAAAUGAUAUAAAUCUAGAAAAACUUGGAAACUAAACAAUAUCAAGGUUGUUAACUCUAUUUUAGCUUUCUAACAUAUCUUUUCUUCAAUUUUACCCCUUGGUAAGGAUUUCUAACCUAUUUAUAUGCUAAUUGUUGGGUUCUUAAAGGUCUUUUAAUGCUUAGGCAAAAAAUAUAGCUUAAAAUCUCCAUCAAUCUUAUCUUAAAAUUGUGCAAUGUUUUAUGACUUGAUUGCUUGUAAUUGUGGUAUCUUGGUUUGAUUAAGGCUAGCUAAUUGUGAUAAUAAAAUGAGAUUGUAUACAUCAUGAUAGUAAUUGGUAUGUCGAAGAAUAAGAAUGAUAAGUUUUUUAUUUUAUGGGAGGAUCAAUUAGAGAUAAAAUUCAGUUCUAAAAAUUUCAUGAGAAAGGCUGAAAAUCAAAAUUUUUAGCGUGUUUUCUAUUUCUAGGAGAAGAAGAUGCACAAAAGGUUUGAAACAAUGCGGUUUGAAAAGAUUUCAAUUAAAAACUAGAAUUUAUCUGCCUUUCCAUUGUAGUCCUUGGCCUUUUAAAUUUUAAAUUUUGAUGUGAACCCAUAAUCACGUGGUCACGUAACCCACAUGUAAAAAAGACAAAUACUAGAAAGCCAAAGAAUCAGAUUUGAUAGAAGUGUGACACAAAGAUUACAUGAACCAAAGUACUAACACUAUUAGAAUGAACCCUUACCAAACGAAUAUAAAUUUGCAAACAAAAAUUAUAAUUAAGACACCACAAGGCCAAUUAUAUCUUGAUAAGUCAAAUUUGUUCUUUGUCCCGGCAAAGAGAAAAGUAUUGCAUCACAUAAAACAUACGUUUAUUCAAAACAUCAUAGCUGCUAAAUUUUACAUUAAAGAAAAUAAUAUAUAAUCCUUCUAAUUAGCUCGAGAGAUAAGCAAUUCAUACAAGGAGAUGAUUUGGGUAAUUUUGGGUACCAUGAUGGGGUAGAUAUGAGUUUGGGUAACACUAAGAUGAAAAUAUCUUUAUUUUAAGGGGAAAAUGAUCCUUAAGUGUAUUUGGAGUGAGAGAAGAAGAUGAAGCUCAUACUUGAUUGUCAUAUCUAUUUGGAGGGUAAGAAGGUUAAGCUUAUCGUAAAUGAGUUCACAAAAUAUCCAUUAUAUGGUGGGAUCAACUUGUGUUAAGUCAUAGAAGGAAUCAUGAGUGGCUUGUUGAGACUUGGGAGGAUAUGAAGGCUAUUGUGAGGAAAUGAUUUAUCAAUAGUCAUUAUUAUAGGGAAUUGUACCAAAAGUUGCUGUGUUUGAGCUAAGGUACAAAGAGUGUUGAUGAGUCCCGUAAGAAGAUGAAGAUCGCGAUGGUUUGGGCUAAUAUAGUGGAGGAUAGAUAGGCCAUUAUAACAAGGUUCUUGAAUGGUCUGAAUCACGAGAUAAUGAAUAUUAUGGAGUUUCAAAACUUUAUAGAGUUAGAGGAUGUGGUGUAUAUAGAAAUAAAAAUGAAGAGACAAUUAACUCAAGCGUAAGGGUAGUUUAUGGCCAAACCAAACGUUGGGUUCUUUGUCACCUUGAAAAUCUAAUUGGAAGGUUAAUGUGGGAUAACCGAGAUCCUAAAAAAAAUGACACCUUCACUGAUAGUAAAGGUAAAGUUAAAACUCUUACAUCUCAUAAUUAUGACAUAAACUAUUUUUGUUGGUUGGGAGUUGGCCAUGUUACUUCACAGUGUCCAAAUAUAUUUUUCCACAUAGGAUUAAAAGUUCAGGUCAAUUACAGUUCAGUAAGGUCUUGUGAUACAGGUCAGCAAAUGCAAUACAAAUUUUGUUACUUGUUAUUUUUUGAGUUAUGGACUUCUUAUUUGGAGAUGAAUUUUUUUCUUAUAAUGCAAGGAUAUUCAACAACUUAUUUUUUGGAGUUUUCUAGUUCUAUAAGGUUCUUUAAUAGACAACAAUAUAUUUUUCAAGUGUGGCCAAGAUUCCUUAAUAUUCAAAAAUCAUUUUCUUACAAGGAUUACUUAUUUGUCCUAACUACACAAGGACAAGAGCACUGAAGUAUUUAAUGGCAUAUUACUUUUGGAAUGAAUCAUUUCUUUAUAUUAAUCUGAAUUAUUUAAAGGUUUAAUUUGCUGUUUUAUUCAUUAUUUGGAUAGUUACAUUUACUUUUAUGAGGGGAACUACGGGGGCUAAUCUUGGCUUGGUGGUUGCCAUUGAUUACUACCGUAGGUAUAAGGAAAGGCAUUGAUAUGGUGGUUUGCGUGGAUGGUGUGAAUGGUGUGAAUGGAUGAUGAAGCCAUGAAGGUCCAAAGCAGCUGAAGGGGCUGUUGGCUGGAGAGAGGGAAAACAAUGGCUCAACAACUACAGUUAUAGUGCUCUUUCAUGGGUUGAGGUAGUUAUGUAUGAGUUGGCUGUGACUUGUGGAAUAAUAGAGGUUAAGAUGGGUGCUUAUUUAUGGGGGGAAAAUGGGAGAGAGAUCAUGGAUAGAGAAGCUAUGAACUUGGCGUGUGAGGGAGCUACUGAGAUUGAAAAUGGUGGCAUUGGGUGCAUUGGAAUGGUGGCAGUUAUGUUAAGAUAUAAGUGUGGGUCAGUGUUUUUUACUUUGUGAGUGAUGGCUGGAUAUAAAGAUUGUGGCAAGGGUUUUUUUUUUAUGUGUGUGUCUAGGGAGAGAAUGUAGGAACAACUUUUUGUUUCAUUUUUUUUUCUCUCCUUUGUUUUCUAGUCUUUCCCCUCUUUUUUUGUAAGAUUACCACCUAUUUAUAGGUGGAAAAUGUUGUCUUCUUCCCUAAUUGUUUGGUCCCCAAGCAACUAAAAAACACUUUGAUCCCUCAUUUUUCUUCCUUUGCAUUUUGGUCCCUUUGUUCAAAUUUUUUUAUUUUUUAUUUUUCUUAUUAUAAAAAAUAAGGGGUCAAAUUUUAGGCUAUGACAAUUAUCCCCCUCUUUAUAAUGCUUACGACAGAAAGUCUUGUAAGAUACUUUAGAUAGUAAGUUUAUAAAGAAAGAAAGAUUAAAAGGAUAUGGACUUACCAUAUCAAAAAAAGGUCAAUCCUUCUAAAAUUUUGAGAUACUUAUAGAUACCUCAAAGAUUGACUGGUCUUUAAUGAAAGUUUUAGCAGUAUGGGCUUGAAAGUGCACUUGGAAGAAAAUUGAUAGGGCUUGCUGGCGCACUAUCUGGUAUGUGAGGGCUAGAAAGUGCACAUGGAAGGAAAUAGAUAGGGCUUGCUCGAGCACUACUUGGUAGUCGAGGGCUUAAAGACACACUGAAAAUAGAAAAGAUAGGGCUUAAAGGUGCUCUCAAAAGAAAAAUCAUAGGGCUUAAAGACACACUAUCUAGGAGAUGAGGUUUCAAAGGUGCACUCAAGAGAAAAAGAUAUGACCCACAGACGCACUAUCUAUGAGGCAAGGGCUCAAAGGAAAAAUAUAGGGUUUGCUCAUGCACUAUCUAAGAGGCGAGGGCUCAAAGACGCACUUAAAAAGGAAAAGAUAAGGCUUACAAGUGCACUAUCUCGUAUGUGAGGGCUAGAAAAUACACUCAAAAAGGAAAGAGAUAGAAUUUGUAAAGAAAAAGAUGAUCUUUGUGAAAAACUAAAAGAUGUUUCGAAAUGGUAUAGUUGUACUAGACGACCUUCCAAUUGGUAAAAUUCAAAGAUUUUUUAAAUGGUCAAAUUAUCAUGGGUGACUUGCCAUGGUGAAGAAUACAAGGAUUUUUUCAAAUGGUCUCAUUGUAAUAGGUGACCUGUCCAAAUGGAAAAUACAAUUUGUUUUUUAAAUAAUCAAAUUGUCACGGAUGACCUGCCUAGGUGAAAAUAUGAAGAUUUUUCCAAAUGGUCUCAUUAUAAUGGGUGACCUUUCCGGGUGGAAAAAUAUAAAAAUUAUUCAAAAUGAUCUCAUUGUAAUGAGCGAUCUGUCCGGGUUAAAAAUACGAAGAUUUUUCAAAAUUGUCAAAUUUUCAUGGGCGACCUGCCCAAGUGAAAAACAACUUACUUGGCGAGAGGAUUUGGCUAGAGAUUUCUUAAUUGCAUGGUUGAGUCUAAAACUUCUUGAUCGUAGAGUGAAGACUUCGUGAUUACAUGGUUGAUUUUCUUAUGACAGGGUUGAAUAGAGAUUUCGUUUCCUAAUUUUUCCAUGUUAGACUUCUUGUUAUCUGUUGGGAGCUUUACUAUGCUCAUAACCUUGCUGGGUCUUCUUUGUUGGAGUCUUGCUGGUCUGGACGCUUCUUUUGCUAAAACCUUGUUGGGUGUUUCAUCAUUGGGAGCCUUGCUGACUCAGAACCUUGGUGAGUCUUUUUUUUUUAGUCUUGUUGGACUCUUUCUUUAUCACAACCUUGAUGGGUUUUUAAUUAUUAGGAGCCCUGCUGGACUCAAAACCUUGCUAGGUCCUUUUGUUGGACUCUUUCUUUAUCAAAAACCUUGUUGGGUUUUUAAUUGCUGAGAGCGUUGCAGGGCUCAAAGCCUUGCCAGGUCCCUUUUGCUGGUGUCUUGUUGGACUCUUUCUUGCUAAACCUUGGUGGGUUUAUCAUUAUCUUGAGCCUUUUUGGGCUUUGGAACUUUUGUAAACCCCAGGAAAUAAAUAAAUAAAUAAAAGUGAAGAAAUUCAUGCAUAUGGUUAAAUAAAAACAGGAAUUUAGAAAUUUUUGAAUAUAAAUUUCCGGACGAAAUAAUUCGAAACAUUAUAAUAAACCCGAUACUGUUAAGGGUUAGAUUUAAUUGAAGAGAAUAACACACUUAAAGGAAAUGGGGCCUAAAUGCAAAUAAGGGAAAUUAUAGAGUAUAAAUACCCUCUCCUCACCAAAAAUCUGCAGGAACCAUAAGGAAAGAAAACAGGGAGUUUUGUAUCCAUUCUUGCAAAAUCAAGAGAGAAACACUAAAAUUUCAAGAACCCAUCUAAGAUUAAGGGUUUAUAGAUGGGAUAAAAACUUGUGUGCAAGGGAUUAACAAGAAAAUUGAACAAGAAAAAGAGAAAGGAGGGAGUUGAAAAUCUUCAACUGGUUGAAGAUCAAAAUCUUAAUUCAUAUCGGGUAAGGUGUUCUAAACAUGAUCUUAAAAAUUCAUUUUAAAUUCGAUGAUGAAUUGAUGCCUUGAUAUUGAAUUAUAAGUUAGGGUUCUUAGACAUGAAUUGGGGAAAAAAUAUUUGUUGUUAAAAUUAAGUUAAUUCAUAUGUGGUAUAUAGUGUAUGAAAGUAUUGUGUGAAGGGAAGGGGGUAGCGAAUCUGGACAGGCUCGUCUCCUGAUUUUCGGUGAGAUUUCGGGUAGGAGGAUGAGAAAAUUAGGAUCAGGUUCCUUCAUAGAAAUUGUAGAUUUGGAUAUUAGCUAACCAAGGAAACUGGUCUUGCUCAAUUUAGAGAUGUAGAACUCCAUUUAUGGGUUACCAAUCGAGACUGAGUCGUGACUGAUUCUGUAGGGCAGUAGAACUGAUUAGUUGAUGAGUAAUUUUGACUAUCUUGGAGGCAGAACUGGGUUCUCCUUCCUUCAAAGAACUUGUAGCCUCGUGUCUUAGCUUUCUAACGAGAUUAAUCUCACUUAAAAUGGAGUUCUAAAACUCUAGAUAUAGUUAAAAAUCUGAUGAGUGUUCAGAUAGUAACAGUUGGACAACAACAGUUGGACAAUAACAGUUCAAUGUCUAAACAACAACGGUUGGACAGUAACAAUUGGACAGCAACAGUUGGACAUUAAUAGUUCAAUGUCUAGACAGUAACAGUUAGACAAUAACAGUUGAACAGUAACAAUUUAAUAUUUAGACAGCAACAGUUAGACAGUAAUAGUUGGACAAUAACAAUUCAAUGUCUAGACAGUAACAGUUCAAAGUUAGACAGUAACAAUAGACUUUCACGUGAAUAUUAUAUGUAAGAAUAUAAAAGAAUUAAGUCAUACGAACACUUGCACAUUGAGAUACUAACUUUGAAAAUAUACAUGAUAUAUGUAUGUUUGUUAUUAUGAGGAAAUGAACAUGCAUAGAAAGUAACAUAUAAGUAAUGAAUGAAUAUGGAUUCUCUAUAAUAUCGGCUUGAAGGAAUCAUAACCAAAAACUUCCUUGUGAUUCAGGAUGAGCAACCAAGAUUGGAUCUUCUGUUAGGAGAGGUCGCGAGACAGGUAAAGCAAGUGCGUGAUUUUCCCUCCUAUUAGUAGUUAUACAAUUUAAAAUUCUUCUGGUGAAUGCAAUUACAAUAAAUAUGAUGUUCAAUGUAAAUAAAUUCUAGUGUAUUUACAAGAUUAACUUCGGCUAAUGGCAUCCAUGAUAGGAAUGCCGGGAAAUGAAUUACAAGAUUAGCUUCGGCUAAUGGCAUCCGUGAUAGGAUUCACCCGGUUCAUGCAAGUAAAUAAGAGUAUUCAAAUUAAGAAUAUGCAAAUGAGUGUUAAUUGGGUUUAAAAGAUUUACAAGCAAAAUAUAAGUUGUCUGUUAGAAUUCUUGUGGAUCCGAUAGAAAAUUAAUACUUCAUUCAUAUACAUUACCUGAGCAUAUAUAUAUUUCUUUUAUCAACAUAAUGGUAUGUUUAUUUAUGUACCAGGUCUAUCAAAUAUCCAGGGAGAUCAUUAGUUUAGGACUCUACUUUGUCAAGCUUAUGUAAAUAUUUAACUUAAACAAAAGGGAAUUAACGCGUUUAUGUAGUAUGUUUUUUUUAUAAACCUUGAUGUAUAUAUAAAAGUUCAGCUUAGCAUGUAGUAUUUUAGUUAUCUUGUAAUUAACCCUUUUGAAAUGUUUAAGAACACUUAUUAUGUUGUAAAUGCUUUCUUUGCAUGGUAGUAUUCCUUUUCUUUUAAAUUUUAUGAUGAUUGAUAUAAGGUCCGGAAUUUUGGGACCUUAUGAUGAUGGGUUGAUUGAGUAAAUUGAUAGUAGUCGAUAACUUGGGAUGUACUAAAUACAAACGAAACUCUACCAAAUUUUUAGUAGAUUUAAAAAAAAAAGAAAUUUACCCUCAAAUUAAGAGAAUAUGUUGGGAUCUUUUAACAUUGAUCAAGUCGUACAGUUGGGUCCAUUACAACUUUGUUGGAUUCCUUCUUUGUUGAACCCUUGUUGGACUUUGAAAAUCAUAUCGAGCCUUACUUGGCUUAGAACCUUGUUAGGUUUUUGUUCGUUGGAGUUUGGUUAAACAUUAUUAAGGAUUAUUUCUUGUGAUAUUCCUUCGAAAACAUUAUGCAAUGAUUUGGAUUAAAUGACAUGCAUGCAUCCUUACCUGGUUGGAAAUAUAGGCCACCUUUUACUGCAAAUCAUCCUCUGAUUGGUAUAAAGGUUUGCUGUUUACCGAUCUGACCCUUUGGUUGCUCAGCUUAAAUCUUCAUCCUCCUCCGGCUUUGCCUAUAUGUUUAAUUACCUCUUCAUUAUAUCAUCCCACUUAAAUUUUUUACAUAUGAUCAAUUGUACUUGAUUUCCUCUUUGUUGCACAACUUGGGUCUUUAGGCAAUAAAUGAAGCUCUGCUUAGUCAUGAUGUUGCCUUUCUGGUUGGAUGGUGCCUUUAAUCAUGGAAGUCUUGCACCAUUGACCACUCAUUUUGAUGGAGAAGUGGUGCUCUAUUACUCUCAUUUUCUGAAGGAGUUCAUCAAAUCAUUUGUUGUCAAUGACUGUUGCAAAUUGCCUCCAACUAAUGUAUUCAUGUGAUAAUAUUUUUCAAGUAUCAUGCCAUCCUUCAAAAGGUAAACCAAAUUUUUAGAUAUAAAGAUUCCCCUUAAAUAUAGCAUUACUCUCAACUGUUGAUGGAGUUCAUCAAAUCAUAAACUGUCCUUAAGCAAAAUUAUCCUCAUAGUUGUGCUCAUUCUCUUACCUGUCAUCUAGAGGAAUUUUUCAUCGCCAAAUGUUGUUCAUAGUUUUGAUGGAUUUCACAGAAUCAUCAUUUGAUCAUGUGCUUCUUUCCCUCCUGGCUGAUCUAGAUAUUGUCUAUUAUCCCGCUGAGGAUCUACUACAUUGCCUUCUAGCAAGGACCUUGCGAACUCGGUCAAUGACCUUUUUUAUUUGAAAACCAUUUUCUUGUUUUGGAAUCAGCUUGCAAAUUUCAAGGAUCAUACUCAUUCAAGUCCAAUUGUUGCAAUUAAAUUAUGAGAUGUAAUUUUUGUGUGUUUUUGGUUGAGAAUUAACAGGGUAAAGGUUGAGAAAAAAGUGUUAGCUCAAAGUUGUGUUAUCCAUGGCUCAAAUGAAAUUUUUGCAAUUUGAAAACAAAAAUUUACCCGAUGUAAACUUAAAAUAAUUUUGUUUUGAAUUUCUUACAAUUCUCAAGGGUUUAAUCUCUUUUAGGAAAAAGAUGAUUUGGUCUAGUGAAGGUACAAGAUGAAGUGACCUUCUAUUUUUAUAGGUUUAAAGGCAAAAGGCUUAAGUAAAAACUCUAGAUUUUGUUGAAAAAAUUUCUCUUUUUUAGCACUUAUUUUAUUAGUAUUAAUAAUAAUGAGUAGCUUUGUUCGCAAUGUCAUGAUUCUUGUGAAAAUGUUCUUUUGUAUUUUGAGAACAUCAUUUAUUGGUCCAGAUUGCUUGCUUGUUUAAUUGGAAAAGACUUUUAAAGACACGUAAUGAGGCUAUAGCUUUCUUCUAUGAAAGAAAAAGAUUUGUAGGCUCAAAGAGUGUUUCAAGGUUUUAAAGACUUAAGAUCAUUGUCAUUGUAUCUUUCAAUGUUUUUCUUUCAUAUUUCUUUGAUAUUCCAUUUUAAUUGCUUUGGUAGGGCAUCCUUAUUUUGUUUUGACCUUGACUUGGUUAUUUUAUUAUUAUUAUUUUGGAAUACCCCCCAACAUUUGAAUUUUUUGGGCUCUUUGGCUUUUUCACAACCUCUCUUUGGUUCUAAUCUUUAAAUUUUUGUUUGCCCUCCAGUGUAGGGUGCGAUCAUAGUCAACAUACACCUUUGACUUUUGGAAUUCGCAUUUGCUCUCUAGUGUGGGAUGUGAUCCUAGUUAGGGUUUUUACAAAGAAAAACUUAUUCAAGCUUAAAUUGGGACCACAAGUGAUAUAUUUUAAAAUAUAAAAGGAUAACAAAAAUGGCAUUUCAUCAUUUCAAACACAUGCGAUUAGAACCAAUAUAUUUUGUCCUCCUUCAAUAUAAUUGUUCAGAACUUUUGUACAAGGACUUAUAUUCUUAUGACUCAAUAACUAGCCAAUCGAACUACAUGCGAUUAUGCAUACAACUACAAUAUGGCCCAGGAGACAUGAGGUGUGAGCUUUUUGUGUAUUUUUUAUUUUUCAUGUCUUGGUUCAAAAUUAUUUGGUCACCUCAAAAUGAGAAUUCAUUCAAUAACUUGUUUCUCAUCUUAUAAAUGGGUGUCUAAACAUUGUUUUAAGAGAAUAUCGAAUUAUUUAUAAAAUCAAAGGGCAAGUUCAAUUUUCAAGAUUGUUUUGGCAAAAGGGUUUUAACAAAAUUGACGUGGCCAACAUGUUUUGAAUGAUGUCAUGGAGUUAGUCAUGAGGGUCGGUUUUAUUUAUUUCAAAGGGUAGGGAUUUCCCCAUAGCAUCUUAUAUAACACACAUUGGGUUCGAUCAUUUCUGCCAUAAUAAUUAUGCAAUCAUUGACAACAAUAUAAUUCCAAGUUAUUUCUUUCACAAAAACAUCUUUUGAUUAAAAAAAAAAAACAAAGAGACUAAAAAGACAUGUUUCAUUAAAAGAUAUGAUGUAAUUCCAACACCAAAGUGCAGAAUAGCAAGGUUUGACAAAUACCACAAUCUUUAAUGGGUUGAAAUCCCUAGUGACAUCUAUAUCUUGUUAGUGUUUACCAACCACUUGUUGUGCUCAUGACGAUCCAGUGACAAUAUGGUGAAUGACAUUAUCCUUCACAAACUCAACUUGUCCCCUACUUCCCAGCUUUCAAAAUUGAUACCUUAAAUUCUUGUAGCUUUUGAUUGAAUGGUGGAGGAUCCCAUCAUGAUGUUCACACUUCUCAUUUUGAUUGUACCACCUAGGGAAUGGUGAUUUAUAGGAUCUAAUAAAACUGGGGUAAUAUAUCCGGUGUUCAAAAGAUGUUGGUAAAAUACCUUUGAGUAAUAAAGGUAAAAUCUUUGGCAGUGGCAUUUGAGCAGCCAAUGAUACAGUGAGAUCUAAUCAAACCAGAUUCUCAAUCUGAGAGCCAUUCCCCAGCCAUUCCCAAACUCAGAUUCUAUCAUGACUUUAGAGUUCACAAUUCUUGAUAGCUUGUUCAAUCCUUUCGGCCACAACCACUAGGUUGGUUAGUAAAGUGCUAGGUUGCACUUCCAAUCAAGAACUCAAAGUAAGGCAUUUUAAAAGUGUUGGUAAAUAAACUAGCCAUUUUGUUUUAUAGAAGAGGAGGAUCUAUAUGAGUAGCUACCCCAAACCACCUCUAGGCGUAUUCCCGAAUAUAUUCUCUAUCACCCAUUUCCAUAUCUUACAGGCUAGAUCUGUCUGGAGCGAUGUUCAUGUUGUACUCAUAUUGCUUAAUCAAAGUAUCUACGAGAUCUUUCCACUUCCAGAAUUUAAUGUUGUAUAGCCUCAUACAUUAGCCUAAUGUUGCCCCACUCAAAUUGUCAUGAAAGAAAUACAUCAGUAAUUUUUCAUCAUGCAUUACUUCUGCCAUCAUGUUGCAAUAAAACUUUGGAUAAGUGAUAGGAAAUUAAAUUCCAGUGUACUUUAUGAACUCGGGUAUGCGAAAUUUCUUUGGUAUAAUCACAUUCGGGGUUAAACACAUCUCGACAGCUUUAACAUCUUGAAAUUUCUUUGGUAUAAUCUCCACUCAUUUGAUAGGCCUUACCUUAGCUUCUAACGUUGUUAUUUUAUCAUGAUCAAUGUCCUUAGAGGAUUUUUAUCUUAUGGGAUUCAUUGGCGAAUGCAUCCAUAACUACUAGGGUCAAUACAGGUAUUAUUGAUUUCACAAAUAUUGUAUUACAUUAGGGUUCCUUACUCUGCCCACCCAACCUUUUUUCAGGUUGAAUUGUUGCGGAAGUCACAGGCUGAUUAAACAUGCAUUCACCAAAGGUAUUCUUGAGUGUUUGCUCGAGCAAGCUAAUGAGGCAGGCCAUAUUAACCUUCAUGGAAUCUAGCUUCUCUUGGAAGUAGACAUCAUAAUGAGCACGUUCUUCAUCUUCUAUGUUUUUUUAUUGGAGUCAGGUGUUGUUAACUUUAUGGAUUUGAGCUUUUUAGGGACCUAUAUUCCAACCUGUCAUAUGCUCACAUGACAUUUAAACCUCAAAGGAUAAAUGCAUGUAUGCUUAUAGAUGCAAGUAUAUGUACACAUACAUCAAAUAUGAAUUAAAUUGUUCAAAGGGGAACCCAUGACUUCUUUGUUGAAUACGGGCAAAAAUUCAUAGUCUAAUGAAUCUAAAAAAGAUAUUUCCCAAAUCCAUAUCUCAGUUAAAUUUCAUACACAUUGGAGAGUACAAAACAAAAAGAUGGGUUUGAGCCCUUUUCAUUAAAAAAAGACAAAAUGAUUUUUAUAUGUGGUAAAUUAUUGCACGUGUUCAUAAAAGGUUAUGGUCUUAACUUAGAAAGAUCUUGCAGAGUUCAGGAUUAUUGAUCACGUCUGCCUUGAUGCAAAAUGAAUUAUUAGGGAGUUUAUAUCUUAAGGUCAAUUCUAAGUCACUACAUAAAGGAUAAGAUUUCUACUUGGUCUCAAAAGAGUCUAUGACCUGCUCAGUGACCACCUUUCGUGAAGGCAAUAUAUGGGUUUAUAGCGAAUGGUUGGGGCAUAGUAUGACUACCAUUACCAUGUAAACGCUCAGCUCAUAGUUGGAUGUUUCACAAAUCUGAACCCCGACUGAAAGUCAUAAGGCAGACCAUUACUCCCCACCUAACCUAGAAUUGAGUUUAUUCAUAAAAUUAAAAUGCAUGAAGGCAUUAAUUCAUACCUAGUAUACCUAUGCAUGAGCAGUAUGUAAAAAAAUUCAUGUUAAAACAGUAUGUAAAAAUAUACAUGUUAAAAUUAAAUUAAACAAGCCAACAAAAAUAAACAAGCAAACAAUCAAACAAAAAAAGCUUAGUCCGACAAGACAAGUUCCCAAUGGACUUGCCAUCUUGUCAUUACAUGAACAACAUCGAAUGAUGGAUCUACCUCCUAGAAAUGUAGGGUGUUUGGGUUUAAUCAUAAAGUUAUGAUUAGAGGGAGUCGCCACCUAAUAUCAUGAUCAUUAGAAAACUUAUGGUUUAUGAGAGUAUGGAUAAGGGGACUAGUUGUGCAAGGAAAAGAUACAUCACCCCCAAUGCACCUUAUUUAUGAUAAGCUGCAUUAUUUAUUGAUUUUUAUUCUAAGUUGUAUUUUUAUCUGUUGGUUUUGUCUAAAGUUCAAGGUAGAUCUCCCUUCGUAAGGAAGUCUCUAUCUUAUUGGGUUAAAUUUUAACCGUUUAUGACCUAAAAUUUAGCAUGCACUUAUUUCCUAGAUACAACUGAUUCAUAACAUUUAUUGCUAUCAAUUCUUUUAAUCUAAUAAUGUAAGCAUGCAUAACAAUGUGAAGUUCAUACCCUAAGUAUUAAUUAAACAAAUUAGUCUUUGUGGUAUUUUUAAAAUUUUGAUCAAAUCUUAAUGGAUAAUUAUAAACUGGUUAUAAUAUCCAUUUUGUAUUUUUAAAACAUGAUAAAAAUGCAUUUGUUUUUAGGAAAUAUGCAAGAAACAUUUUAGAAUUUGGUUGUAUGUGACUAAAACAUUUGGUUAAUAAUUUUUUUUAUCUUUUUAUCUAUUCAUACUUUUCUUUUUCUCUUAUUCUUUUUUAUCAUUCAUUUAACCAAAAAUAAAAGGUAAUAAAAAGAAAACACAACUCUCUCUCUCUCUCUCUCUCUCUCUCUCUUCACUAUAUUUUACUCACACACCCUAUAAUUACAUGUUUACAAAUAAUAAAAAUUUAAAAUUUAAAAAUAAAUUCAAACACACUAAAAAUUUAAAAUUUGUGAAAUGAUCCUUCCAAAGCUUGGAAACAGGUUGGAGAGAUUGUUGGAAACUCAGGAACCACACUAGAAAGCUUCCAGAGUGGCGGAAAAGUGGCAGCGCAUGGGUUUGGGGUGGCUUCCUUUCUUUUUCCUCUCAGUGUUAAAAGUGAGUGUCAAUAACACCUAAAAAAAAACAAAAACCCACACACAAAGCAAUUGAUUUUAUCCACAAAUCUACUUUUCUCUUUUACUCUUCAUACAAAUAUAUCAAGCUAGAACUAGGCUUUCUUGUUGAUGGUGGAGGCUGCUGGUCCAUGCCGAUGUGAAGAGGACCUACUAGGGGUUGUUGAAAGGAGGUGUUGUACGAUGGAAGUUGAGAUAAAAAAAAAAAAAAAAGAGUUGCUGGAGGCGCUGGCGUUAAUGGCGGCCAAUAAUGGGUCUGUUGGUUUUGGUUUCCAUUGUGUUAGGGGGGUAGUUGCUUCCAUAGAGAAUAAGGGUUUUGACUAUAUGGGUGGUGGAAGCUAAGAGAGAGGGUUGUCGUUUUGGUUGAAAAUGAAAAGAGGCAAUAGCGGUAUUGGGAAACCGUAGAGGCUAAUCUCGGCUUGGUGGCUAACGUUGAUUAUAGUUGAAGGGGGUAGCCUUGGGUAUGAGGGAAGGCAUUGAUGUGGUGGUUCAGGUGGUUGGUGUGAAAAAUGAAAGAUGAAGUUAUAAGGGUCCAAAUGAGCUGAAGGGGCUAUCAGUUGAAGGGAAGGAAAGCGAUGCCUCAGCUGCUACAAUAAUGGUGGUUCAUCAUAGACGUUUGUGAUGGUUAUUGCUGCUCUUCUGCUGACAUUUUGGAUAAAGAAAGAUAAGGGUCACAGGUUGAAGCUGUUAUGAGUGCGUUGGUAGUGACUUAUGGAAGAAUUGAGGCUACGGUCAAUGCUUAUUUGUGGGGGAAAAAUGGGAGAGGGAUCAAGGAUAUUAAAGCUAUAAACUUGGCAUGUGAGGGAGCUACUAGGGUUGAAAAUGGUGGCUUUGGGUGCACUAGAAUGGUGGCGAUUAUGUUAAGAUGUAAAUGUGGGUCAAUUUCUUCUAGUUUGUGAGUGACGAUUGGUUGUAAAGAUUAGAGCUAGGUAUUAUUUUUUUUAUCUAGGGAGAGAAUGUGGGAACAACUUUUUUUUCUUUUUUUUUUAUCUUUUCUUUUCAGGUCUCUCCCCUCUUUUUUGUGUAAGAUUACCACCUAUUUAUAGGUGGAAAAUUUUAUCUUUUUCUCUAAUUGUUUGGUCCCCAAACAACAACAAAAAUACUUUGGUCCCUCAUUUUUUUUCCUUUGCAUUUUGGUCCCUUUGUUCAAAUAUUUUUUAUUUCUUAUUUGUCUUAUUUUUUUUAUUUUUUGAAAAAGGCAAUGUUAACUCGAUCAGAAAAAUCAACAAUUUUGAAAAUAACAUGUUAAAAGCUGAAAAGAAAUUUGAAAUAGUAGUAGUAGUGAAAACAACAACAACAACAACAAUAAUAAUACUUAUUACUAAUAGUAUUAAUAGUAAUGAUGAUGAUGAUGAUGAUAGUGAUAAUUCAUCAUUCAAUGUUAGGUUUUAUAGGGAUUGAGUUUCACUUUUUUCCAUGUAUGGUAGUGGUAGUUGUAGAAGUAGUAGUAGUUGUUGUUGUAAUAGUAUUAAUAGUAGUAGUAAUAAUAAUAAUAAUGGUGGUGGUGGUUAUAGCAAUAACAAUAAGAAUAACAAUAACAAUAAUAAUAAUAAUAAUAAUAAUAAUAAUAUUGUUUAUUAGAAGUAGUGGUGGUGGUGGUGGUGGUGAUAAUAGUGAUAAUUCAUCAUUUAGUGUUAGGUUUUUUUAGGGAUUGAGUUUCAUUGUUUUUCCAUGUAUAGUACUCCCAAUGUAAUAUCCCGAGUUACAAGUUUGAAAAGUUGAUGUGAUCUAACAUCUUUUUUUUUGUUUGCCUUAUUGGUUUUUUUUUUCAACAUUAAUUUUUUAAAUAAAAAAAGGCUUUGUGAUUUUCUUAAUUUAUUUUUAUCAGGUUAACCUAGUUUGAUAGCUUAGGCCACGAGUUUUAUAGGUUAACAUGAGUUAGCUAACAUCUUAUUACACAGCUUACAUCUCUAUCACGCCACCUCAGAUUGACUCGAUCUUUUUUUUUUUAUCCAAUUACAUACUUCUAGAGGGUUUUUUUUUUCAAGUUAUUGUGGUGUUUUUUGUGUGUGUUUCCUAUUGUUGUCAAUUUUUUUAUCUUUUAAUAAAAAUAAAAUCAAUUCAUUAAGCCCUAUCAAGAUAUAAUUUGAGUCAUUUAUUUUAAUUUUUUUUAUUUAAGACGUUCUCGCAACGUCUGAAACAUUAUUUUUUUUCACAUAUAAAAAUAUGGAUCCAUGCUUAGCAUGGAACAUAUCUAGUUUUACCUAUAUUCUUUGAAAUGACAUAUUCAUUCCCCAAAAUGAGAGUUUGUGGGAAUGUUAUAAUUCAUGAUGGCAACGUCAUUAAAAUAUUAUGUGAUUCAAAUGAAAAAAGUUACGUGUGAAAAAAUUAUUAAACAUUAUUAUCAUGUUAAAUAAACAAAGGAAGUGGGUUCAAUUUGAAAAUAUUUUUACAUAAAGACGCAUAUAUAAAACUGAGUUUGGGAAUCAAGACUGGGCUCUGCAGAAUAUCCAGUCUUCUAUUCGGCUCCUCGAGGAUCAGGCUGAAAGUGGUAAGCUGUCUGACUCUGAAAGAAAAAGGCUAUAUGAGCUGAAGGGUAAGCAAUGGAAACUCUGCAGAUAUGUCGAAUCAAUAUGGAGAUAAAAGGCUAAACAGUCUUGGCUCAAGUUGGGGGACAAAAACACUUGUUUCUUCCACAUCUCAGCAAAAGUCAGGGGAUGCAAAAACUAUAUUCGUCAGAUUAUAUAUAACGGGAAGAUUCUCUCCAGUCCAACUGAAAUCAAAAAAGGAGCCAAAGCAUACUUCUCAAACAUCUACUCUGAAUCCCUGACUCCAAGACCCACGAUGGGUACUGCAGACUUUAAGAAGCUUAGUGAGAACUAGGCUGCAUGGCUUGAAAGAGAUGUUACCAUAGAAGAGGUUCACUUGGCCAUCUUCAGCAGUGAAGGCUCCAAGGCCCCAGGACUUGACGGUUUCAACUUCAAUUUUUAUAAGAAGUUUUGGGAGUUAAUGAAUCACAAAUUAUUCACAAUGGUUCUUGAAUUCUUCAGGAGAGGUCACCUUCCUAAAGGUAUUAACACCAGUUAUAUUGCUUUAAUUCCAAAAGUUGCUGGCAGUUCCUCUUUUAAUGAUUAUAGACCUAUUAGUUUAUUAAAUGAGAUAUAUAAGAUUAUUGUUAAGAUUCUCACUACUAGGCUAAAAGAAGUUAUGCAGAGUGUGGUUAGUCCCUCCCAAUCAGCUUUCAUUGCUAGCAAAAACAUCCUGGACUCAGUCCUUAUUGCCAAUGAAAUGCUGGAUUCCAUGAAAUCUCGGAGAUGUCAAGGUUUCCUUCUUAAACUUGAUUUCAGAAAAGCUUUUGACACCGUGUCCUGGUCUUAUCUUAAUGAUGUUAUAGGCUACAUGAAAUUUAGUGCUCGAUGGAGGAAAUGGAUUAUGGCAUGUGUCUCGACUGCAAGACUAUCAGUUUUAAUCAAUGGUUCCCCUACUUCUGAGUUCACAACAUCUUGUGGUCUUCGGCAGGGGGAUCCCCUCUCCCCUUUUCUCUUUUGUUUGGUUGCUGAAGGCAUCUCAGUUUUCAUUAGAAAGAGCUUGAAAAUGGGUGCUCUGUAUGACAUGGAUUCUGCAGGAAUAAAAGAUAUUCAUCAUCUGUAAUUUGCAGAUGACACUCUUCUCUUCCUACCAAAUGAUCUUCAAUGCCUGCUAAAUGCCAAGAGAAUGUUACAAUGGUUCAAUUUAUGCUCAGGGCUCAAUGUCAACUUCCAUAAGAGUAGUUUGGUGGGUGUGAAUGUUGAUGAGAUAUAUGCUGAAGGGAUUUCUAAUGUCAACUUCCAUAAGAGUAGUUUGGUGGGUGUGAAUGUUGAUGAGAUAUAUGCUGAAGGGAUUUCUGGUGUUCUCAGGUGUAAAUGUGAUACUCUUCCAAUCAAACACUUGGGGCUCCCUCUAGGUGCUAAUCCCAAUAGGAUUUCCACAUGGAAACCUGUUCUCUCACAGAUUCGAGGGUGGCUCAACUCUUGGAAGGGGCAGCUAUUAUCGAUGGCGGAAAGAGCAAUUUUGAUCAAAAGUGUAAUCUUUACCAUUCGUCUCUAUUACAUGUCCAUCUUCUGCAUUCCAAAGACAGUGGCCCGUAAGAUCACAACCAUGCAAUCUCGGUUUUUGUGAGGUGGGAGUGUUGAUAACAGGAAAAUUCAUAGGCUUGCUUGGGAUACAGUGGUAAAAGAAAAGGACAGGGGCGGUCUGGGUGUUGGGAAUAUAUCGGCAAAAAACAAAGCUCUCCUCUUCAAGUGGAUUUGGAAAUUAGGAAGCAAUGACAAAGCUAGUUGGGUAGACACAUUCUAAACCUGUAGGAGGACUGGUGCCCUUUUUGUGAGCAACAUUCAGAAAUUGUCUUCCACAUCCUCAUGCAUUGCCCAGUCGUCUAGAAACUAUGGAAUAAAAUUGUAGCCUGAAGAGGUCUGAGCUGGGUAAUGCCAUAUGCCCUUGACGACCUUCAAUAUCAAUGGUUAGGUCUUCUGCAGGGCAAUCAUUGUAAGUUUGAAAGAUCUCUUUAGGGGGGCGCUUUAUGUUAAGCAUUGUCUGGACUAUGUGGAAUGCUAGAAACACCUUGAUAUUUGAGGAAAAAUAGCCAAUUUGGACAGAUAUCCUAUGGCUUUUGUUUUACUUUGCUGCAGGCUGGAUCAGAAAUCUGAACUCUUCUUUUUGGUAUACCGGUGCUGAUCUAUAUAGGAAUCACGAAUGCAUUUCAGCUUAAUCUGCUUAAGUUUUGAUUUCGUGUGGUUUUGUAUUACCUGCUUUAUUAGUAGAGUCUUAUGUUUCCUUAUAUUUCUUUUUGGUAAUUAGACUGAUGCCUAGGCUACAAUCUAUAUAGCUAAAACUUUGUCUACAUUGAUCAGGUUUUCUCUCUUUAUUAUAUAUCUAUUCUCGAUUUCACCAAAAAAAAAGAUGCAUAUGCAUGAUAUUUUGGAUAUUGCUUUUUUACUAAAAAAAUAAAAUACAAAGACAAGGAAUUUUUAGGUCGCUUGUAGGUCUUUAAGACCAAAUAAUAUAGAUUAAUGUAUUUUCAGCACUUGUUUUCGGCUUGAAUUUAUUUAACUUAAGCUCAUAAUUGUUAGUAAAUUAUGAGUUGGCUUUAGAGCCCACACACAUUAUAAUAUUUCGCGCAUUUUCUACAAGUAAAAUAUGUCUAGAAACAAAAACAAGAAGAAGAAGAAAAACGAAAAUAUUCUUUGAUGUGUCAACCAAGCACUCAUUGCUUGCCAUGUGCUAAGGCUGGCCCGUCACUCUCCCUGUUCAUGCAUGAAAUUCUCCAGGCUAAGCAUCAGAACAAGACUCUUCUCAACUCUGUCUGUCAUUAUCUUCAACUGGGCUCGGAAUGUACACUUUAAUGGCGUCAUGGUUCACAGUUCACACGUAAGCAAAAUGCAAGGUUCUCCCUUCGAUAUAUUCCACAAUAAACAACAUUUGGAAUCCAAGCUUCCUCGAAAUACAAAAUUCGAUUCGAAAAGGAAAGUCACAGAAAAUGCAAGGUGCAUGAGAAAAGAAUAAAGCAUGUUUCAUCUAUAUUCGAACCACGAUCGCAAGUAUAUGGCAGCUAUAUAUAUUUGAUUCUCUGUUAAUUUUUUAUCUAAUUAGACAACACUAGUUUUAAUGCACGCGGUGUUGGUGUGGUUUAUAAAUAAAUAAAUAAAUAAAAAGAUGUUUAUCCCACAUUAAAAACAAACACUUCCUUCUAAUCUCAAAAGUAUAGGUUUCUAUUAUGUAGUAAAUUAAGUCAUGGUGGACGAACUCUCUUAUUUAUCUUUCUAAUGCUAUUAUAUGGAUAUUUAUAAUAUCAAAAGAUAGCAUUUGAAACUUAAAACUUGUAACUUAAUAUGAACAGUUAUAUUAUUUCAUGAAUAGUCAUAUUGUUUGAUGAACAGUCAUAUUUGAUGAACAAUCAUAUUGUUUAAUGAACAGUCUUAGAGUUUCAUCAACAAUUAUAUUGUUUGAUGAACAAUCAUAAUGUAACAGUGAUACUAUUUCAUCAUUAUGUUUCAAGUCUAUAAAAGCCUGUUACUACACAAAAAAAAAACAUAUAUUCUUUCUUGGUCUUAUCUUCUCAUUCUUUUAGAGGUUUAGAUGGUUUAAUUGUAUCCUUGAGGUGUUGUCUUUAUGUGGAACAAAUAAACACCUUAAAGAAAAAUGUUUUUAUACCUCUAAGUCAACUUCAUAUUUGUUUUCAUUCUAAAUAUUUCUUUCACGUUGUAUAAUUAAAAUAAAUAUUAGUAAUUUAAAUUAUGUUGGAAAAAUAUAUUUUUCUUGUUAAACUUAUUAUAUUUUAUUUAUGCAUAUUUACAUAACAAUUAUUUUUAAUUGACAACAAGUUAUUUGAUAAAAAAAACUUCAAGUAAUUAAAGUUAAUAUCAUAAAAAACCAAAAAGUCAAAUUAAAUGGGAAAAUAUAUUUCUUUAGCUAAAAUUCUCUUUUUAUUAUUUAUUAAUUUAUUAUUAAUUUUAGCAUAAAUAUUUUUUUUAUUAGAAGCAUGAUUUUCCAAAAACAAAACUUAUCAUUAUUUGUAAAACAAUUUUAAACCAAGAAAUAAUAAAUAAUAUUUCAAAUAUUUGUAUGCAAUCACAAUGAAAAAUUAAAAAAAUUAAUUUCAAAAACUAAUAUAAAAAAUGAUAAUAAAUAUUAUUUUAUACUCAUUGGAUAUUUAUAUGUAAUUUUUUAAACUUGUGUUUAUCAAUUUCAUAUAUAAUUAUAAAUAAAGUAAAUAUAACUAUAAAAAGAUUAAAUAUUAUUUAAAAAUAAUGGCAUAAUAGAAUAAUUUUUUAAAUAUUCUUUUACUUAUUUAUUUAAAUAGGAUUUAAUUUGAAAAAAAAUUCUUUUUUUUUAAGAAAAAAGAGAAGGACCUAAAGAAUAUAGUAGAAUCUAGUGCAACAAUGCCUAAACAACACGGAUAAAUUGGUAUGUUAAAUAAAAAUUUAGGAAUCAUAUUGAUUUUUUUUUCAUUAAAAUAAAAAAGAAUCUUUUUUUUUUGUAUUUUUCAUAUACUUUGAUCCUUGUUCUUUCAAAUAUAAGCUUCAAUUAUGUUUAAAAAAAAUGUUCUUUAAUUCAGUUUCAGAAUUUUCUCAAACUAUUGAAUAAGUUAUUGCAUGCAAAGAAAAGAAAAUUACAAUGUUUAAAAUGACUCUAACAUAACAUGCGAGUAUAAAAUUGCAUUGGAAUAAAAUAAAGUUUGAUGAUCAAAAUAAUAAUAAAAAAAAAAAACAAUAUUGUUCAUCGAAGAGUGUCGUAUACAAUGAUUUUAGGCAAGUGAAUUAAAAUGAACAGUAAAAAAUCAAUACAAUAAUCAAAUAAACAAAUUAUUUCAACACAUUUUAAAUAAAACUAGUUAUUUGACACACACUUCAUCAAAGAAUGAAAUGCUUCUUUUCAGCAAAAACAAAUAAAUAAACAUGCAUGCUUUCAAUGUGUUUUUUUUAUUAAAAAAAUCCUAAUCAUAAAUUAAAAAAAAACUUAUGCAUACAUUUAGUUAAAUAAAUCAAGAACUAUUUGUGCCAAUAAAUAUAAAAAAAAAUAAAAUAUUAACAUGUCUACUCAACUCACUUUUCUGUGGGUUAAAUAUUUUCUUUUCUAACACAAAAGAAUAAAUGUAUAGUUAUUGUUAACAUUUUUUUUGAAAUCAAGAAAAAAAAAUUAUGGAUUAAAAUAUAAUAUAAUAAAGAGAAUCAUAUACAUUAAUAAAUAUAAAAAAGAGUUGUAAACAUAAAACCGUGUGUAGGAUGUGAACUUAAUUUUUACCAAAGUAGAAAAAUUAGACAAUAUUAAGAGUAUGAUUUACUGUAUCAUAAUUUUCUUAACUGAGAUAUGUAAGGACACUAUUUAUGUUAAAGGAGAUAGAUCUUAAAUAACAAAGCUCUCCUCUUCAAGUGGAUUUGGAAAUUAGGAAGCAAUGACAAAGCUAGUUGGGCAGACUUCAUUAAGGAAAAAUAUAGUCCACAAUUCAUAAACGGGAUGCCCCAAUUCAGGAAAAAACUUUCAAGGAUCUGGCGAGGAAUCAGCUCUACCAUUACUAGUACGGAUCUUGAUAGCUCUCUUAUUUGAGUUGGCUGUAAACUUAAAAUGGGUAAUGGUAACCAUGUUAAUUUUUGGUCAGAUACUUGGUGGACCGGUUUCUGUUUAGCUAACUCUUAUCUGGCUCUUUUUCGCAUGUCCUCCUCUAAAACAGGGAUAGUUAGUCAUAUGGGAUACUGGAUAGAGGAUACUUGGCAUUGGAAUCUGAAAUGGAUAAGGCCCCUCAGUAUUAGUGAGAACCUGCUGUUUCAAACAUUAUUGUCUGAUCUUAAUCUUGCAGUUAUUCAUCGAUUGAAAGAAGACAGGUUGAUUUUGGAAUGGGGGAAGGAUAGAGGCUAUACUGUAAACUCUUGUAUGCUUGCCCUUGAAAGGAUCAGGUAUGCUGGAUCUACAAAUUAUGUCACAGAUGUUUGGAAAUCCAUUUGCCCUCCAAAAACAUAAAUGACUUUAUGGCUGGCCUUAAAUGAAGGCCUUUACAGAAGAGCCUUCCUGGUGAAGAGACACAUUCUAAGCCCGUAAGAGGACUGGUGCCCUUUUUGUGAGCAACAUUCAGAAAUUGUCUUCCACAUCCUCAUGCAUUGCCCAGUCGUCUAGAAACUAUGGAAUAAAAUUGUAGCCUGGAGAGGUCUGAGCUAGGUAAUGCCAUAUGCCCUUGACGACCUUCAAUAUCAAUGGUUAGGUCUUCUACAGGGCAAACAUUGUAAGUUUGAAAGAUCUCUUUGGGGGGGGUUUUAUGUUAAGCAUUGUCUGGACUAUAUAUGUGGAAUGCUAGAAACACCUUGAUAUUUGAGGAAAAAUAGCCAAUUUGGGCAGAUAUCCUAUGGCUUUUGUUUUACUUUGCUGCAGGCUGGAUCAGAAAUCUGAACUCUUCUUUUUGGUAUAUCGGUGCUGAUCUGUAUAGGAAUCACGAACGCAUUUCAGCUUGGUCUGCUUAAGUUUUGAUUUCGUGUGGUUUUGUAUUGCUUGCUUUAUUAGUAGAGUCUUAUGUUUCCUUAUAUUUCUUUUUUGUAAUUAGGCUGAUUCCUAGGCUACAACCUAUGUAGCUAAAACUUUGCCUACAUUAAUCAGGUUUUCUCUCUUUAUUAUAUAUCUAUUCUCGAUUUCACAAAAAAAAAGAUGCAUAUGCAUGAUAUUUUGGAUAUCGCAUUUUUACUAAAAAAUAAAAUACAAAGACAAGGAAUUUUUAGGUCACUUGUAGGUCUUUAAGACCAAAUAAUAUAGAUUAAUGUAUUUUCAGCACUUGUUUUCGGCUUGAAUUUAUUUAACUUAAGCUCAUAAUUGUUAGUGAAUUAUGAGUUGGCUUUAGAGCCCACACACAUUAUAAUAUUUCGCGCAUUUUCUACAAGUAAAAUAUGUCUAGAAACAAAAACAAGAAGAAGAAGAAAAACGAAAAUAUUCUUUGAUGUGUCAACCAAGCACUCAUUGCUUGCCAUGUGCUAAGGCUGGCCCGUCACUCUCCCUGUUCAUGCAUGAAAUUCUCCAGGCUAAGCAUCAGAACAAGACUCUUCUCAACUCUGUCUGUCAUUAUCUUCAACUGGGCUCGCAAUGUACACUUUAAUGGCGUCAUGGUUCACAGUUCACACGUAAGCAAAAUGCAAGGUUCUCCCUUCGAUAUAUUCCACAAUAAACAACAUUUGGAAUCCAAGCUUCCUCGAAAUACAAAAUUCGAUUCGAAAAGGAACGUCACAGAAAAUGCAAGGUGCAUGAGAAAAGAAUAAAGCAUGUUUCAUCUAUAUUCGAACCACGAUCGCAAGUAUAUGGCAGCUAUAUAUAUUUGAUUCUCUGUUAAUUUUUUAUCUAAUUAGACAACACUAGUUUUAAUGCACGCUGUGUUGGUGUGGUUUAUAAAUAAAUAAAUAAAUAAAAAGAUAUUUAUCCCACAUUAAAAACAAACACUUCCUCCUAAUCUCAAAAGUAUAGGUUUCUAUUAUGUAGUAAAUUAAGUCAUGGUGGACGAACUCUCUUAUUUAUCUUCCUAAUGCUAUUAUAUGGAUAUUUAUAAUAUCAAAAGAUAGCAUUUGAAACUUGAAACUUGUAACUUAAUAUGAACAGUUAUAUUGUUUCAUGAAUAGUCAUAUUGUUUGAUGAACAGUCAUAUUUGAUGAAAAAUCGUAUUGCUUAAUGAACAGUCUUAGAGUUUCAUCAACAAUUAUAUUGUUUGAUGAACAAUCAUAAUGUAAUAGUGAUAUUAUUUCAUCAUUAUGUUUCAAGUCUAUAAAAGCAUGUUACUACACGGAAAAGAAAACACAAAAAAAAACAUAUAUUCUUUCUUGGUCUUAUCUUCUCAUUCUUUUAGAGGUUUAGAUAGUUUAAUUGUAUCCUUGAAGUAUUGUCUCUAUGUAGAACAAAUAAACACCUUAAAAAAAAAUGUUUUUAUACCUCUAAGUCAACUUCAUAUUUGUUUCCAUUCUAAAUUUUUGUUUCACGCUGUAUAAUUAAAAUAAAUAUUAGUAAUUUAAAUUAUGUUGGAAAAAAAUAUUUUUCUUGUUAAACUUAUUAUAUUUUAUUUAUGCAUAUUUACAUAACAAUUAUUUUUAAUUGACAACAAGUUAUUUGAUAAAAAAAACUUCGAGUAAUUAAAGUUAAUAUCAUAAAAAACCAAAAAGUCAAAUUAAAUGGGAAAAUAUAUUUCUUUAGCUAAAAUUCUCUUUUUAUUAUUUAUUAAUUUAUUAUUAAUUUUAGCAUAAAUAUUUUUUUUUAUUAGAAGCAUGAUUUUCCAAAAACAAAACUUAUCAUUAUUUGUAAAACAAUUUUAAACCAAGAAAUAAUAAAUAAUAUUUCAAAUAUUUGUAUGCAAUCACAAUGAAAAAUUAAAAAAAAUUAAUUUCAAAAACUAAUAUAAAAAAUGAUAAUAAAUAUUAUUUUAUACUCAUUGGAUAUUUAUAUGUAAUUUUUUAAACUUGUGUUUAUCAAUUUCAUAUAUAAUUAUAAAUAAAGUAAAUAUAACUAUAAAAAGAUUAAAUAUUAUUUAAAAAUAAUGGCAUAAUAGAAUAAUUUUUUAAAUAUUCUUUUACUUAUUUAUUUAAAUAGGAUUUAAUUUGAAAAAAAUGCUUUUUUUAAGAAAAAAGAGAAGGACCUAAAGAAUAUAGUCGAAUCUAGUGCAACAAUGCCUAAACAACACGGAUAAAUUGGUAUGUGAAAUAAAAAUUUAGGAAUCAUAUUGAUUUUUUUUUUCAUUAAAAUAAAAAAGAAUCUUUUUUUUUUUUGUAUUUUUCAUAUACUUUGGUCCUUGUUCUUUCAAAUAUAAGCUUCAAUUAUGUUUCAAAAAAAAAUGUUCUUUAAUUCAGUUUCAGAAUUUUCUCAAACUAUUGAAUAAGUUAUUGCAUGCAAAAAAAAGAAAAUUACAAUGUUUAAAAUGACUCUAACAUAACAUGCGAGGAUAAAAUUGCAUUGGAAUAAAAUAAAGUUUGAUGAUCAAAAUAAUAAUAAUAAAAAAAAACAAUAUUAUUCAUUGAAGAGUGUCGUAUACAAUGAUUUUAGGCAAGUGAAUUAAAAUAAACAGUAAAAAAUCAAUACAAUAAUCAAAUAAACAAAUUAUUUAAACACAUUUUAAAUAAAACUAGUUAUUUGACGUACACUUCAUCAAGGAAUGAAAUGCUUUUUUUCAGCAAAUAAAUAAAUAUGCAUGCUUUCAAUGUGUUUUUUUUAUUAAAAAAAUCAUAAUCAUAAAUUAAAAAAAAAAAAAACUGAUGCAUACAUUUAGUUAAAUAAAUCAAGAAUUAUUUGUGCCAAUAAAUGUAAAAAAAUAAAAUAUUAACAUGUUUAUUCAACUCACUUUUCUGUGGGUUAAAUAUUUUCUUUGCUAACGCAAAAGAAUGAAUGUAUAGUUAUUGUUAACAUAUUUUUUGAAAUCAAGAAAAAAAAAUUAUGGAUUAAAAAAUUGAUACUAAGAGAAUUAUAUACAUUAAUAAAUAUAAAAAAGAGUUGUAAACAUAAAACCGCGUGUAGGAUGUGAACUUAAUUUUUACCAAAGUAGAAAAAUUAGACAAUAUUAAGAGUAUGAUUUACUGUAUCAUAAUUUUCUUAAUUAAGAUAUGUAAGGACACUAUUUAUGUUAAAGGAGAUAAAUCUUAAAAUGUAUGAAUUAAUAAACUAAGAAAGAGCUGCUAAUACUAAUAAAAUUCUAAAAUAAAAUAUAAUAAUCUUUAUAAAAGUAAAAGAUAGAUAAAUAUGAUAUUAAACCCAACUUUCUCCAUUAAUGCACAUGUUUUGUUUUUAUCUUAAAGGUCAUUUUUUCUUACCAAAAACAAAUAAUUUUUAUUUAUAUAAAACAAAAAAAAUUAUAAAUGAAUUAAAAUAAUCUUUUUAAAAUAUUAAAUACAUAUAAAAUAAUUAAAAAAAACAACUUCUAUUUAAAAAGGAUAAAUAAACAAUCUAAAAUAUCAGAGAGAAUCAACAUAAAUUUAAAUAUAAAUUAAAAAAAAUGUCAUUUUAAAAGAUACAUAAAAAACAAGUAUCAAUAACAAAAAUAGAAAAAAAAGGUUAGGCAUUUAUGGGCAUGGCGCACUCCUAAACCAUUUUGAAAAAGGGCAUGUGCGUAGAUCUACAAUGACAAGCUCAUGUGUAUGGGUUUUUAUUUUUUUAUUUGGAAAUAGGAUAGACAACAUGUUGUCCACCUCGAAAGAUUUUGAAAAAAAAUUAAAGAUAAGCAAUGCAUCGCCUAGUUUUCACUAUGAAUUGUUAAAGUGAAAACACCAACUAGAGUGAAAACACCACAUAUUUUAAAGUUUAUGUUAAUAAUAUUACAAGUAAGGACAAUUGCAUUAUUAGUACAUUAAUUCUACAUAUUUUUUCGAUCAAGUACAUGAAUUUUAAUUUUUUUAACAUUUGAGUACAUAUACUUUUUAAGAUAUUUUAAUUAAUUACAUCCAUCAACCUUUCAUCAACUUUUUUUUUUAUUUGAUGACGUGCAAUUUGCCCUUAGUCGUAAAAAUAAAUUUUAAUUUUGUUUAUUUUGAUACACUAAUAUUUUUUUAUUAUCCCAAUCAAAUACUUUAGUAAAUUUUUAAUUUUCUACAUGAAGACUAAGAUCUAUUUAUAAAUAAUUAAAAGUAGUAAAUAAAUUAUUAAUACACGAAAUUUAUUAGUUUGAUGUGGCACCUUUACUCGUUUUUAAAUUGACUAGUUUUUUGUUUACUCAAGUAGUUUUCUAUAUGUUCUCUCUCUAUCAUGAUUUCAUCAACUCUCCUUUCAUAUUACAAUCACAUGAUGUUCAUUUAUAUGGUUAAAAUAAUAAAUGUUUUUAUUAUAUUAAUAAUGUAUUGUUAGUUUAAAUUAAUUAUAAAAUAAUUUUAAUUAAUUAUACAAUGAAUUUUUGUAUUCAUGUAGACAACUUACCAUGAAUGAAAAGAGUUAACAUCUUAAAGUAUUUAAUUUAAGAUUUUUUAAAGAAUUUAUUUUAAGUUAAAAUAUUUUUAUUUAUUAAAAAAGCUUAUUUUAGAGGGCAUUUUAUUAUAAAAAACAAAACAUAUUAAAAAAUGAAAAUUUGACUAAACUACUUGUUUGGAACAAUAAAAAACAUUGGUAUAUCAAAAUAAUAAAAAAAAAUAAAUUUUAUGUGCUUUAUUGAUAUAAAAUAAAAGUUGGAGCAACAAUAGAGAUUUAAGAGUGAAUAAUUUAAGAUUGAAAAAUAAUAGUGUACUCAGAUGAAAAAUAUUAAAGCUUAUGUAUUCAAUUCAGAAAGAGGUGUAAAGUUAAUGUAUUGAUUAUUCCUAAUGUAUGAUUAUUCCUUUUAUAUAUAUAUAUUUGAGAUUGUUGUAGAGAUUUAUUUUCAAAGUGUUUUUACUUGAAAAUAUAUCAAAAUAUUAUUAUUUUUAUUUUUUAAAAAAAUUAAUUUUGAUAUCAGCAUAUCAAAACAUGAAAAAAAUAAUUUGAAAAAAAAUCAAUUUUUUUUUAAAACGGUUGGACCGCAAAAACAAACAAAAUUAUAGAUGGAUAGUGUUUUCUAUUUUAUCAAUAAAAAUAGAUGUUUUUUUUAUUUGAAAUAAAAUGUGUGUUGUGAUUGAAUUACAAGUGUUUGAUUGAAAAUAUGAUAAAAGUUGUUUUUCAAAGUGUUAUUUUGAUUGAAAAUAUAUUAAAAUAUAUUUUUAAAAAAAAUAUUUUAGAUAUCAGUAUAUCAAAAUGAUAAAAAAUAUUAAUUUAAUACUUUAAAAUUUCAAAAAUAUAAUUGAACAAACAUCACCUAAAUAUAUUAACAAAUGAUACUAAUAUAAAAAUAUAUGUUGUCAUAUAAAAUGUGUCAAUGGUAAGACAUGAACCCCAUACUUGGAGCCUUUUGGACUCUUGUUAAAGCUGCCGUGUUGUGUUAUGAGAUUACACAUAUUAAAUAUUGAGUAAUGAAUUAUUAUAUUGUGUUGUUAUUAUAAUUAUAAUUAUAAUUAAAAACAUAAUUUGAAUUAAUAAAUUUCUUUAAAAAAUAACUAAAUGAAUUUCUUAAGAAAUAAAUUCUUUCUUAAAGAACACACAAAUAUCAUAAAAAAACAUAAAUAAAAAAGAAAAAAUAAUCAAAACAUUAAAUUUAUUUUUUUAAUAAUAGAACAACUAAAUAAUUUAAUUAGGAUUUAUACAAGUUGAGAGCUAAUAUACUUAAAAUACAAUAAUGAAGUUUGUUUAAUUUUAAAAUAUUUAAGGUUAUUAAAUAUGUAAUUAUGUACAAAAUAAAAAUGAUUGAAGUUAGUUAAUUUUCAAAUAUUUAAUAUUAUUUUUAUUUUUAAAUAAAACAAAAAAAAAUUAAUUUCUAAAACAUUGCUAAUAUACAUUUAACCUAAUUUUAUAAAAAAAAAUAAUUUUCAUUCUCAAAAUUUAAAUAAUCAAUUUUUAAAAUCUUAAAUAAUCACUUUUAUAUAUAUUAUUUUGAAACAAAACAAUAAAAAGUGUAAAAAACAAGAAGAUAGACGAACUCUUGCGACGAUGAGUGUACCCUCCUUAUCCUCAAAAGAGAAUAUAAGGAAACCUUAUCUUUAAGGAUAUUGUGCCAAUUAAAAAAGAAAGUUCCACGUGCGUGCUCUGCCUAAUUAAAAAAGCUAAAAAAAAAUAUUAUUUUAUUUGGUAUUAUAAUAAUGUUGUUUUUUAAAUAUAUGUUUUUAAAAAUAUAUUAAAAUAAUAUUUUUUAUUUUUAAAUUUAUUUUUGAUAAUAGUAUAUUAAAUCAAUAUGAAAAUAUUAAAAAAAUUAAUUUGAGAAAAAUAUAAAUAUUUCUUAAGAAUAUUUUUGAAAAGCAAAAGUAAAUAUAUUUUUACACUUGAGGCCCAUCAAUAUUCCUUUCCCAUCCUUAUAGUGUAAAAUAACCUAAUAUUAACCCUAAACUUAAUGCUUCCCCUUUUUACUCCAUAACUAAGAAAAACUAACCUUUUUUUUUUCAUUUUUUUCCGCAUCGCUUUUUAGUUUCUCUCAUUUUUUUCCGCAUUUAAACUCUUGGAAACUAUGAGGAUAAAAUUGAAUUUAAAAAUAUAUAUAUAUAUAUAUAUAUAUAGAGGAAGAAAUGGAACACUAACGAAUCUACAGUGGAAAAAAUGAAGUUUACUCAAGAAAAAGAAUAAAGAGGGUAGGUAUAUAUAACCAAUAAUAGGAAAAGUUAAUGGACUCUUUAGGUCAGUUCACUGUCAAUCAACUGUUAAGCUGAUCUGUAAUCCACAACUAUGAGGAAUCUAGCCAAUAGGAAUAGAACAUGACAAGACCCCAUUAACUCUCUCAGGCCAUUUCGUUCUUCAUUUCUUCUAUAUAUACAUGCGCAAGGUCCCUGCUUUCAUCUAAUAUCUUACCCUAAAUAAUAUCACAAAAAAUAUCCAUUCAUUCAUUCUUUUGUAAUUACCAAGAUGAAGCCACAUAAUCUCUCCAGCGAUGGUUCUCUUCCUCGUGAUGCGAAGAGAACAAUUGCAGAGAGGCUCAAGCAGGCUAUUGAUGCGGCUACUGUCUCCAUGACCAUGGCUCGGAACGGGGCUGGUGAGGGAAACAGUGCUCUCUUAUAUUCAAAAGAAAUCGAAAGACGAAAUUGGAGCUCUCAGGCAGAGGACCCUAUAAGAACUAUGAUGUUCUUAGGGUCAUGGGGCCAUACAUGAAUAAGCUCUCUUGCUUGACUCUGAUCAAACCAAAUAUUGUUGAGUUGGAUGAUUAAUUGGUGUGCAAGAUCAACAAGUCAUUUAACUAAUUGAAUAUGUAUGUAAAUAAUCAUGUGUAUGAUAUGGCUGAUUCUUGGGAAAGAGCAAGUGGACGUGUUUCAGCCAAAGCUUUCAAGAACUAUUAAUUGAGCUGUAAUGCCCGUAAGAGAACGAUUUCUUGAUCUGUUCUUCCGGUAAAAUGAAAUAUGUCGCCUUUGCUUCAUGCUAUGUGACAAUUGCUACCAUAAAGUUGCUGCAUCUUUGUGAUAAACAGCUGGAAUUCUCUUCUGUUUCUCCUUUUCUUCUUGUGUAAUUGUGAACAAAAUUUGGUUGAAAAGGUUUGGAAGGAUUAUCUUUUGAAUCCCACAAUUGGUGACUUAUUUUCUACUUGUAAAAAAAAAAAAAAAAGCUUUUAAUGUACUUUAGCUUAAGGGAAUUAAGGGGAGCUAUUAACCCUUCCAUAAGCCCGACGAUGAAUAUCUCGAAUUGUUCUCUUUUGGAUCCGCCGUCUAAGUAGACGACCAAAACUGAUCAUUGCAAACGAGAAAACUUUAGCUCUCCGCCGUUUAAGUGGCGAUUCCUUAUUAGACUUGGCAAAGUAAAUGACCAAAUCUAUGAGUUCAAUACAACAAUUUGAACACUCUUUGUUAAUGUGUAGUUGUAAACCCACAAGAGGAGCCUGUGGUUUGACAAGAUCAUGGUUCGACUCUUGCCUUGGUGAGCUAGGGAAUUUUCUUUCCACCAGGCCGUUUGCCCUUAAACCUGCGGGCUCGCAUCCUAUAAUGGAGGACGCCUCGAAGG